UUUUUUUUUUUAAUAGAGAGGUCUGUUAACAUGCCCAUAUGGUAUACAGAGUAGUAUAGUUACUUAGUCUUGUUGAAAUGGCUCAGAGGAAGCACAAGUAAAAAAAAUAAUUUUAUGUAUGAUGGUUUCAUAAGCUUUUAUUAAGUCCUGCCAAUGAAAUUACUCUAGAAACAUCUAAUAUGUCUGUUGCAAUAAAAUAUUCUCUAUAACCCAAACCCACUGCCAUCGAGUCCGUUCCAACUCAUAGCGACUCCGUAGUGUUGCCAAGGCUGUAAAUCUCUGUAGAAGCAGACUGUCCCAUCUUUCUCCCAAGGAGCCACAGGUGGUUUAGAACCACUGACCUUUUGGCUAGCAGUUGAUCGUUUUAACCACUGCAGCACCAGGGCUCGGAUUCUAUAUAACAAACCUCUUUACAAGAAAUGGUGAAAAUUAGUUUCAAACAGCUCCACCAAAUAUCAGUAAGGAUCUUUGCAAAAUACUGAGCUAGUAGUUUAGGUUUUUAUUUGGGGAUUUUUAAAAUAUCUGUCAGAAUCAAAUUAGUAUACUUUUUCUACAGCUGUAAUUUGCAGAGUAAUUUAUUAAAUUAUAUGGUUAAAGAUAAUCAUGCCUUCUUUCUAUUUUGCUUAUAUCCAUCUCCUUUAUUUAAAAAUUAUCUGUCAGUACCACAAGGGAACUGAAAAUAGAUCUUUAAAUAUCUAAAUAUCUUUUUUUUUUAACGGAUAGCGAUAAAGCAAUCAUAUGCUUUAAAUUAAUGUGUCGCAAAUUAACGUGGGUUUGUGUGCCUGCUUAAGUCAUGGUAACUACUUAUUAUGCGUGGUAUCUCAUUUAAUCCUAUUAUAACCCUGUGAGAAUUGAGGCUCAGAUUUAUUCAAUAAAUUGCUCUAGGGCACAUAGCUAGUGUUAGAAGCAAAAUGUGAACCCUUGUGCUUGUUCUUUGCAUGAUACUGUGCUUUUUCUUGGAUUUGAGGCGGAGGUGGGGGCAUUGGGGUCCGGGGGAUGAUCAUGAAGGAGCCAUGGUCUGAUCUCAGUGACUAUUCAGCUCUCUUUUCAGCUGUUUAACUUCGUGAGCCAGACAUCUCUUUCAGAGUUCGUUCUUCGCUGUUUUUCAUAGACUCUGGCCAAAUUACUACUCUUGUGUCUAUGCUUAGACCAUGUUUCUUUGCCUACCUGGAGCACCCUUUGCCUCCUGUGUUGUGUCCACUUCAUGACUACAUGUAAUAUUGCAGUAAUUGCCAAAGUGGGAGUGUAUCUUCCCAGAGAACAACUCUUUACUAGCAUUAUUAUUUGGCUUUUAGACAACACAUUGUAUUUAUAGAGUGCUUUUGUUACCAUUUUGUUAGUUAAAUCACACAGAAAUACGAAUUGUUGCCAUCACUGAAGGAUUGGGAAGACUCGUAGAAAGAAUGUGGAGAAACUAAAGGGAGCUCGAGAGAAAUGAAAAUGAUUAAAGAGUUAGAAAAUAACACCUUUGAAAAAUGCUUUAAGAGUAUGAGAUGGUUAAAUUUGGAGGAAGGACGAUGAAGGAAUAACUUCAUGGUUGUCUGAAGAUGAGUUGGGAUGUUAGAAUGUUGAUGAUAGUAAUGGUCUCUACUUCUAAAGAGGAAAGGGUACAGAAAAAAUUAGUUUAAAUGAAAGCAUAAAAUACGUAGGUAGAACUUUAAAUACAAGUCACAUUGCAAAGCUCUGCUAGGUAUCAACUGGAGCCUGCUGAGUGGUUCCAGUGGCUUAGGAGCUUCCCUACUAAAUACAGAUAUUGGACCUCCCUCCCAACCCUGCAGAAACCCUGGUGGCGUAGUGGUUAAGAGCUCCGGCUGCCAACCAAAAGGUUGGCAGUUCAGAUCCAUCAGGCGCUUCUUGGAAACUGUAUGGGGCAGUUCUGCUCUGUCCUAUAGGGUUGCUAUGAGUCGGCAUCAACUUGAUGGCAGUGGGUUGGUUGGUUUAGGUCCCAACCCUGCGUAUUUAAUUUUUUCAUGGAGCUCUACGUUGAAUGGUUUAUUCCAUCAUCCACCAUUUCAAAUGCACCUCAUUAUUAAAGAACAGCUUUUUUACUUGUAAAGCUUUCACACAAGAGUUUUCAGUAUACAGGUAGAGUUCCGAAACUGGGAGUUGUAGGAAACGGUGCUUUGAAAGUGUCCUUAAUUAGAUAUGUUCAUCAAUUAAAAGUAGGUUUCAUAACCAGCUGCAAAUAUAUACCUACACAUAUAUUUAGGACAUCAGUGUCUGUGUUUGCCUGUGUCAGAUGUGAAUUCUGAGCCCGUUUUUGGUAUUUAACUAAGAACUUCAAAGGGAAGUAUUUACUUUUUAUGUUCCUUCCCCUCUCUCCUCGGUACUUCCCAAAUUGUGUCUUUUGGGUAUUUUUAAAAUGCUAAAAUCUUACCUCAUUGUUUCACUAUUAGUCCUUUAUAUAGCCCAAAAUUUGGGUACCUCCGUAAUAAUUAUUGUUAAAAUAUAUUAGUAUUGCCAUUCUAUAGGCUUUAUUUUAUUACUGGAGAUUCCCUCAGGGACAAGGAAAGUGUGUUUCGGGGAAAAAAGUGCAAAUUACAAGGGAGACUGCUUCCCACUUUACUUGGUUUUUGCUAUUCCUAGCAGUUGACUUCAGAGAGAAUUUUUGGAUGUUGGACAAGUGUAAGUCCUGAUGGCAGAGCCAGUGCCCAUGUGCAGCUCUCCUGUCCCGACCGGCUAUUCCUUGAAGGAAGGAUGGCAGUGACUUAACAAAGAGAAGACCAAACCAACCGUUUGCCCUUGAGUUGCUCCCAACUCAUGGUGACCUCAUGUGUGUCCCAGUAGAACUGUGUCCCACAGGGUUUUCAGUGGCUGAUUUUUUAGAAGUAGAUUGCCAGAACUUUCUUCUCUGGGUGAACUCGAACCUCUAACCUUUCAGUUAGCAGCUGAGCACAUUAACUGUUUGCACCACACAGGGGCUCCAACAAAUAGAAGAAGGAAGGUAAAAAUGGAAAUUCAAAAACUCCUGCAGCAGUUGCCUGCUGCCUUCAGGCCCAUGCUCCCAGGCUAAUGGGAGCCGUAACCGAAAGGUUGGUGAUUCAUGGUGUGGUGUUACUACAGGUGUUUACCUCAGAGCGGUGGCAGAGUGCUGGUGCCGUCACGAUCGUUAGGGUUGUGUGUCAGCUUGGCUGGGCUGUGGUUCUCAGUGGUUUGGCAGUCGUGUGAUGAGAUUUGGUAUAACGUGAUCACCUCCACGGUGGCAUCUACUGUGAGUAGCCAGUCAGUUGAAAGGGACUUCCCUUGGAAGCGUGGCCGGCGUCCAGUAUAAACGGACACUCCGACGAGGCUCCCGGGCUUUUGCUCACUCUGGAUUCUGCAGCUGGCGCCUGUUAUCCGACCUCCAAUUCUUGGAGCUUGAGCCGGCAGCUUACCUGCAGCCUUACCUGCUGAGCUUGGAACUCGUUGGUCUCUGCAGCACGUGAGUAAGAGUUCUGCUCUCUGACCGGCGCCGACCUUGAGUUCAUCAGCCCUUGCGGCUUGGUGAAUCAGGAGAAGCCCCUGUCCUGACCAACGGACUUGGGACAUUCCAUGCUCUGCAACCGUGUGAGCCAUUUCCUUGAUAAAAAAAUAUGCUUGUACACUUCAGUGAUUUUGUUUCUCUGGAGAACCCAGCCUAAGACAUCUAGUGUUGGCAUCUGCUUUGAGAAACACAGUUCUGGCAGGUUUUUAGAUGUGGCCCUGUACAGGUCAAGUUUGUACCAGGCUUUCACAGGUGGUGAGACCUGGAGAAGGUCACCUAGUAUUCUCAGGCCUACAGUCUGAUAGAUAUGAGUGGGCUGGUAUCAGUCAGCUCAUUGUGCAAGUUUCUUUUUCUAAACAAAACAACUAGCUGCUUGUUCCUUAUGUUGGAUUUAAUGAAAAGCAACUUGGGAAUGACUUCUCAUGAUGUCUGUAACUUGUAUCUGCGUCUUUCGAAACUGCUUUGAUGGUAGCAUGUUUGGAAGGGACUUUGAUGUACAAACUAAACGUUGGUAGGAUGUUAAAACCUAACAUUUAAGAUGCAGAACUUUUCUUUUUUUGCCAGCUCUCUGGAUAUUGUAAAAUGACACGGUUCAAUCCUAGCUGAGUACUAAGAUUUUUUUAAAACAUAAUUAAGCAUUUUAAUUAUUAUACUUACAACUGGAGGCUGUUUUGACAAUUUGGAAUUCCAUUAUACUUAGAAGGAAAAAAUUCAUGAAAAAAAUAGGCAAUGAAAUUAAAUGCAAACUAGCUUUCUACCUCUGAAUUUCUUAGGAAUACAGAGUUGACCUCUGAGCUGCCACAAAACCAGCCUUCUCACUUCAAGAGUAACCCAGGACUGUCCUCAGUGUUAAAAUUUCCAGUUUAACACACCUGUUUGACUGGGUUUCCUUGGCAACCUUCAAUUCUUCCUUCAGAUUAGAACAGGUAACCCCAACAGGAAAAGCCCCAUAGUACAUGAAUUCAUGCAAAGGGCAGCCUAGACAUUUGAAUAGCAAUGGAAGGCAUCCUUAAAAUGGCACAGAGUGAUAAUUGAUAUUUCAGUCUAUGACCCUUAGUCUUCAAAAAGAGUUCUAUGUUUUGUUUAUUCUGCACAGUAGGAAAAGAAAUAAUUACUGUAAUUUAGACAGAUUUCUGUUUAAAAAUGUCAGUGUUUAAAAAGUCUGAGCCUUUCUUCCCUACUUCUUCCUUUCCUUUUUGUGACAAAGAUUAAUUGCAUUUUUACAGUAUGCCAGACCUGUUCUGGAUACUGUGGAUACAAAGAUGAAUAAAACAUGCUUUUGUCCUUGAAGAGUUUGCUACGUAGUAAUUGAAACAGACAUAUAAGCAAAUAAUUAGAAUACGAUGCAGUAUUUUAAUGAUUGUGUUCAAAAUACUACUAGGGAAGGUAGAAAACGAAAUAAUAAUGAAAUCUUCCUGAGGAGGUGUGGGAGUACCAAGAGGACCUGCUUCAGACAUGGUGAAUUUUCCAGCUACAGCUGCAUUUUCGGGUAGCGUCAGAUAAAUGAGGUGCAACUACACCGUGAAAUAGUCCCAGCCUGGGAUUUAACGUGGUUAUUCCUUUAGGACUUAUUCUGAAAGAAAAAUAUUUUUGUUAGAAAAAAAAUUAUAAGUUAUUUUAGACUGAAAACCAAAACCAAGUUGAUUUUGACCUAAAGCGGCCCUAUGGGACAGAGUAGAACUGCUCUAUAGGGUUUCCAAGGCUGUAAUCUUUAUAGAAGCAGACUGCCAAAUAUUUGUCCCUCAGAGUGGCUGGUGAGUUGGAACUGCCAGCCUUUCAGUUAGUGGCCAAGUGCUUAACCACUACGCCACAAGCGCCUCAUUUUAGACUGAAAAUUGACCAUAUUUGUUUAUUUCAUACUCUGAAGAAUUUUCCUUCUAUAAGUUCAAGUUAUUGUUAAAUAUUUAUAUAGCCAUAGAACCAUUUCAUAUAACAUCAUCUCUUUUCAUGUUAAGUGUGGCUACUACAGUGCACUAUGUGUUCCACCUUACAUAAUUUUAAAAUUUACAUGAUUUGUAUAUAAACUUAAUUUUAUGCAUAAGAAAAAUGCACAGAAGGUACUUAUUAAGGAGCCCCAGUGGUGCAGUAGUUAAGUGCACCGCUGCUAACCAGAAGGUUGGCAAUUCGAACCCACCCAGCAGCUCUGUGGGAGAAACACCUGGCCAUAUAUUCCCAUAAAGAUUGCUAAAACCUGUUGCCAUCAAGUCUGUUCUGCGUCAUAUCGACCCUGUACCACAGAGUAGAAUUGCCCCAUAGAGUUUUCGAGGCUGUAAAUCUUUACAGACGCAAACUGCCACAUCUUUUUCUCUCGGAGUGACUGAUGGGUUCAAACCACAGACCUUUAGGUUAGCAGCUGAGCACUUAACCACUGUGCCACCAGGGCUCCUAUCCCAUAAAGAUUACAGCCUAGAAAACCCUAUGGGGAAGUUCUACUCUAUCACAUGGGUUGCUAUGAGUCAAAAUCAGCUUGAUGGCACGUAACAACCACAACAGGUACUUAUUAUUUGAGGAUAGUUCCAUAAAAAGGCCCCUUAAAAUGAGGUUAUUUAUAAGUGGAAUCAAAUUUUGUAAGGGGUCACUUCCUUAGCGUUUUCUUUGUGUGAUGGCCUUUGUUUCCCAAUGUAUUGUUUUCACAUUGUAGGAACUGGUAUGGGUUAAUGUUUUUUUAGCACAUAAUAGAUUUCAUUUAAUCUCUUAACUAUUUAUGUCAUUAUGAAUCGUCCUCACCUCAUAACAGUUAGAAUUCUAACUUAGAAACCAGACAGAGUAUGAAAUGGCAAAAUUGACUAUGUUGGUGCCGACACCACCUACUCUACGACAAUGAUAAUCAAUGGCUGCCAUUUGUGAAACUCUACUAGGCAGUUUGCAUAGGAAUCCUUCCCACAAUCUCGCCUGUCUUCAAGGAUAAGGAAAUUGCUCAAAGUCACACAGAUGGUGAAUGUCUUGGGAGUUAAAGAUAAGCCAUUCUAAUUCUCAAAUUUCUGCUUUCUUCAUUGCACUAUGUUUUUAUUUGGAGUUAAGAAGCAUUCACUUCAGAGUUUUUUCUUAUAAAUGAAAAUAUAUGUUUUUUUAAUGCAAAGAAUAUAAAAUUUAAUAAACAAAAUUAGAUUAGCCUGAUAUAUAUUACAUUUAUAUAGAGAGUAUUAAGAGUCUUUAAAAAAUUAUGUGUCUUCGUAUUGCUUGUAAUUGAGAGGUGUUCCAUAAAUGCAUAACCCCUGCUUCAGCAGAGUCAAGAGUCAAAUGGAACAGAAGAUGUGGAAUUGACCAAAUUGGAUUCUAGAAACAAAUAAGUCUUAUGAACCAUUAAAAACAACACAAUUCCUUUUAGGAAUUAGGACUCUGAAUAUAGUAAUGUUUUAUAAAAUCGCUCAACUGUGUGAAGUACAUUCAGUUCUAAUAGCUUAUUAUUGUUGUCAAAGGAAGAAUGGGUGUUACGGAUUGAAUUGUGUCCCCCCAAAAUGUGUAUCAGUGUUUCCAGGCCAUGAUUCCCAGUUUGUGUGGUUGUCCAUUUUGUGAUCUGAUGGGAUUAUCCUAUGUGUUGUAAAUCCUAACCUCUAUGAUAUUAAUGAGGUAGGAUCAGAGGCAGUUAUGUCAUGAGGCAGGACCCAAUCUAUAGGAUUACGUUGUGUCUUGAGUCAAUCUCUUUUGAGAUAUAAGAGAGAGAAUUGAGCAGAGGGGAGAAGUACCUCAUUACCACCAAGAAAGAAGCGCCAGGAGUGGAACGUAUCCUUUGGACCUGGAGUCCCUGUGCUGAGAAGCUUCUAGACCAGGGGAAGAUUGUUGACAAGGACUCUCCCGCAGGGCUCACAGAGAGAGAAAGCCUCCGCCCUGGAGCUGCUACCCUGAAUUUGGACUUCUGGCUUCCUAGGCUGUAAGAGAAUAAAUUUCUGUUUGUAAAGCCAUCCAGCUGUGGUAUUUCUGAUACAGCAGCACUAGAUAACUAAGACAGUGGGUAUACCAUUUCCCAGCAUUUACCUCAUGGAAACCUACGAUUGUCUUUAGAAUUGCAGUAUUUUACAAUGUGUAUUAAUGUAUAUUUUUAUAUAACGCAUUACUCUGAAAUAUCAAGAUGCAGCUUUGGCAUAUGCUUGAAUAAAAAGCUUGGAGGAAAUACAGAUAUUUUACUAUGGCUGUGGCCUGGGAUUCCAGAUACCAGUCUUGAUUUAGCCAAUGGCAAGCUUUCAGUUGUUUGAAAGUUUUCUUUCUCGUUCAAACAGCAACUUUGAUCAUAGCCUUUGGUCAGAGAUGCUGUUUAUAUUGUUUAAAAAAAAAAAAAAACUCUACAACAUCAAACAGUAUAUGAGGAAGGAGUCCAAAACUAGCCCUUUGGUCUAGCACACAGAGCUUCUUGGUCCCAUGAAUAAUGGCCUGCCUUGAAAUACGCCUCCUGAGAUCAGUAAAACUUCACAAGUUACCGCUUUCCUGCCUUGGGGUUUUUACUGUUGUCUUCUAGCAUGUAUGAUUAAAUAAUGAUAUAUUUCUUAGCUGUAGCCAUAAGGUAUCACUGAGAUGUCUUUCAGGCUUAGAUCUUUUGGUUUCUUAUAUUCUCUUUUAAGGAAAGUGGUGGGGUUACACUUUUUAAAGCUGCCAGUUUUCUGCAGGUUACUAUUUCACAUACAUACCAUCAUACUUUUGGUUCAGCAUGUCUCCAGGGACUCAUUUAAUUGUUAUUUCUCACUCAGCAUGACUCAGAACUACCAAGCCUGCUGAGGCAUUAAACAUAUUCUUUGGAGAUACUCUUAGGAAUAUGGGAAUAGCUGUAUCAGAGCCAGCCAUCCAGCCAUCACGUCUGGUUUUCUGCCUCGAACACAUUUCUGUGUUGCAUUUAGAGCCAGGCAUUAAAACCCUGUGAGUUGCCUACUUAGGCAAUACUAGCAGAAGGAAAAAAGUUCAUUUUGAUGGCGUCUAGUGAGCUCUUCAUGCCCUGAAGCAUGAGGACUGGUCUGUAAUUUCAGCUAGAUCCCUGCUGGUACAGUUCCCUAAUCCCUAAGCCAAGCUUCUACAGCGGGAACAGAGGUUAACUUUAUAUAACCUUAAAAAAAAAAAAGUCCUCUUAAACCUCUUAGAUAUUUUAUACCUGUUGCCUUUUUAGAUGCUGCUGUUCUCACAUGAGAAGUGGAAAAUGUAAGCUGUACCCAUUGCUAAUUGGUGCUUUAGAGCUGUGAAAAUUUCAGCUCAGUAACCAGAACCUAUGCCUGCUCUUCUGUGUUUUGUUUCCGCAUCUUUUUACCAAAAGUAACAUUUUUAAAAACCAAAGGUUUACCGAAGUUCGUUUGUUUUGUUUUUGAGGUCCCAGUGUCCAUGCUUCUUUAUUUUAUUUUUUUCUAUUAUCCUUCCAUGUUCUUUGGAGAACUUUGUGUCACUUCUCAGUUCUGUAUUGCUUUUCUGCCUUGAGUUUCCUUUUCUGUGUUUUUAGUUUGUCUGCGUUUUGAAUUAUCAUCAUCUUUUCAUGUGACGUUCUAGUGUGACUCCAUCCCAGUUGAGCCCAAUAGACAACUGUCCCACCACCUGCUUGUCCGUGUCACCCUGCUUAGAGUCAGCACAUGAAUCAUUGAAAUGAAUUGAGUAUAGAUAGUAACGCUAGUUUGGAUAACUAAAGAAACGUCAACUAAUAGAAUUUUUAAAAAUUCAAACAAACCACAUUAUAGUAAUGGGAAUUUAGAAACGGGGUGGCCUUGCUGCUAUCUAGCCAUUGUAUAUAAAUUAUUCUAGGAAAUAUGAUAGCAUCAAAUUCAUGAUAGAAAAUUUCUAGAUGCAUUUUGCUGUAUUUUCCUAGGAGUGGUGUGAAAGGAAGAAUGGGUGGAUGUAUUCUGUGAAACGGUGAGAAAACAGGGAUCUGUGAGAAUUUCAUUUUAGUAUUUAAGGUCCUGGGAUGGAGGUGGAGGAAAUCAUGAGCUCUCCACCAGUGGUGGAGAUGGAACUCCUGGAGUCAUUUGAAUAUAAGCAGAAGGGUGGGGUGAGUUCUGGAACUAGGAAGAAAAAGAGAUGAGGAAGACAAUCAAAGGAUAACUGAGUGGAAGGCACCAGGAGGAAGACAAUAGACAAAUGAAAGAUGGACUUUGGAGGUAGCUUCCUUGUAAAAAGGGACAGGGUGAAAGUAAAGAUAGAAUACAAAAACAAGUGAGGCUAUUAUAACUAUAAACAUUUUAAGAAGAUGAACUAGGAAUAUUAGAGUGAGUGACUAACAUUUUUCAUAUAGAGUAGACUCUACAACCAGUUGUGGGCAUAUUUUUAAUGGAUUUUUUUGGGUUGUGGAAUACUUAAACCCUACAGCAUUAUGGACAGUUUGUAUUUUCCAGUCAAUACAAUUGCUUAGGUCUUUGUAUUUUCUCAAUUACAUAUAUCCCUGGAGUAGCGAGUUUUCUACCAUGGCAACUGUGUCAUUGUUAUAUAAUUAUUCACUUAUCCAUGAAAUAGAAGUUUUUUUUUUUUUUUUUUUUAAAUAGGAUAUGAAGGAAUAAGGCCAAAAAAAAAAACACAAAAACAAAAAGGGAGGAGAAUUAUUCUGGAAAUAUAUUGGUGGUGGGGGGGGCAAGAAAGAGGGGACUUGCCAUCAGAAAACGGAUCUAGUUGUUUAUAUAAAAUUGGAGGUGAGUUGAGAAUAGCUAGAGAACCAAAACUUCUGAAAAAUAAUAAAGAUAGUUUGAGAGGGAAUUCUGGAGUAAUGGAACUGUUCAUUACCUUGACCUGAGUGCUGAUUCCAUGGGUGCUUUCCUACCUUAAAAGUCACUGAGCCAAACAAUAUUUACACAUUUUGCUGUAUAUAAAUUAUAUCUCAAUUUUUAAAAUGUGGGGAGAGGAAAAACCUACUUGAACUUUAAUGGGUGCUCCAGACAGAGAUAUUUUGUUAUCUACUAGAUACAUACCUAGUAACAUCUUUGAUGUUACUUUUUAAACGUUCUAUAAAGUGAUGCCUUAGGAAGAACAGGUAGCCAAUACAAUUCAUUUAUAGCUGUCAAGAGUGGAAAUUUCCCAACACUAACCUCUGUCUCAGAUUCCUGCUGUCGCUGCCGCACUGUUAGUUGGUAUCAGCAGGGGGUUAACAGCGCUCAGUUUAACCUUGCUAUUUGUACUCUGUUUUGAAUUUUGGUCUCUUUCCUCAUUUACCUUCCUUACAUGGAUUUCCCAUUUUAAAGAUCAUGUCUGCACCCUGGGGUGUGGACAGUGAAAGACUUGUGCAGAUAAGCACACAAUAAAAGCACAUUUAAAGAUAAUGUGAAGCUACUAGACCUUUCUUUUAUUGCCAGGAACGUGGUGAAAAUCAUAGGAACAAGAGAAAAAUUGAGUAAGCCUACUCAUGCUGUUAUUUUCCAUGAGGGUUAUAAACCUAUUUAAAAUGUAUAAGAACUAUAUGGGUAUGGAUUAAUUAUAGAUUAUAUAUCCAGGUGUAGGGACAUCUCUGUAACUGCUCUGUUCUACAGCUGGCUGUGGACAGAGGGACAUCUCAUCAGGGACACUUCUUUUCCUUCUCCCAUAUUAAAAUUAUGGAAUCUCUUAUGGCCAGAGACUGUAUCUACCACCACUCUUCCAAUUUCAUUCCUCUCUCACCGCUACCUCAGUUUUUCUAUCUUGUUAAUGCUGAGUCCAUCCUGUUCAAAAGACAGUCUUCAGUAGCAGGAUAGGGAGGAAAGGAUGACUUUAAGGGGGGUGUCUCAACUCCCCCCUCCCCCUGUGGAAGCUGUUUCCUCUGGGUAGAUCUCCGUGGAUUCCUGGUGAACCUAAAAACUCACUACUCUUAUAAAUUGUCUUUGUCUUUCUCUGAGUGAGUAGUGAGUAAAAGACCUGGUUGAUGGAAAGGAAAGAUGACUCAACUUCUGGGAGUUCUGUAAGAACAGGCAUAAUAGGACACUAUUCAGUGGACUUUAAACAGGAGGGCGAUCCAGACUCUCAGACCUCAAUCUCUUCCAUUUCCAGCCACUGGUUUACACAGCUCCAGCAUACCCUUCCUCUAGUUUGGAGCCCAGGAGUCCACUGAUUUACACAGCCGCAGUGUACCUUCCUCUAGUUUGGAGCCCAGGAGUCCACUGGUUUACAGAGCUCCAGCGUACCCUUCCUCUGGUUUGGAGCCCAGGAGUCCACUGGUUUACACAGCUCCAGCGUACCUUCCUCUAGUUUGGGGCCCAGGAGUCCACUGGUUUACAGAGCUCCAGCGUACCCUUCCUCUAGUUUGAAGCCCAGGAGUCCACUGGUUUACAGAGCUCCAGCGUACCCUUCCUCUAGUUUGGAGCCCAGGAGUCCACUGGUUUACACAGCUCCAGCGUACCUUCCUCUAGUUUGGAGCCCAGGAGUCCACUGGUUUACAGAGCUCCAGCGUACCCUUCCUCUAGUUUGGAGCCCAGGAGUCCACUGGUUUACAGAGCUCCAGCGUACCCUUUCUCUCGUUUGGAGCCCAGGAGUCCACUGGUUUACAGAGCUCCAGCGUACCCUUCCUCUGGUUUGGAGCCCAGGAGUCCACUGGUUUACACAGCUCCAGCGUACCUUCCUCUAGUUUGGGGCCCAGGAGUCCACUGGUUUACAGAGCUCCAGCGUACCCUUCCUCUAGUUUGAAGCCCAGGAGUCCACUGGUUUACAGAGCUCCAGCGUACCCUUCCUCUAGUUUGGAGCCCAGGAGUCCACUGGUUUACACAGCCCCAGUGUACCUUCCUCUGGUUUGGAGCCCAGGAGUCCACUGGUUUACAGAGCUCCAGCGUACCCUUUCUCUAGUUUGGAGCCCAGGAGUCCACUGGUUUACACAGCCCCAGUAUACCUUCCUCUGGUUUGGAGCCCAAAAGUCCACUGGUUUACACAGCUCCAGCGUACCUUCCUCUAGUUUGGAGCCCAGGAGUCCACUGGUUUACAGAGCUCCAGCGUACCCUUCCUCUAGUUUGGAGCCCAGGAGUCCACUGGUUUACAGAGCUCCAGCGUACCCUUUCUCUCGUUUGGAGCCCAGGAGUCCACUGGUUUACACAGCCCCAGUAUACCUUCCUCUGGUUUGGAGCCCAGAAGUCCACUGGUUUACACAGCUCCAGCGUACCUUCCUCUAGUUUGGAGCCCAGGAGUCCACUGGUUUACAGAGCUCCAGCGUACCCUUCCUCUAGUUUGGAGCCCAGGAGUCCACUGGUUUACAGAGCUCUAGCGUACCCUUCCUCUAGUUUGGAGCCCAGAAGUCCACUGGUUUCAUCUGCGUGUACCAUGCACUCUGCUAGGUGUUAGAGACAGCAAAGUGGGCAGAAAAAAAAAAAAAAAGUUGAGGGAAACCCAGCCUUCAUUGUUUGUAGCAGGGACACAUGAAUUCUGUUAUCCCAAGUGGGAAUUCUAAAAAGGAUUUCUCCUGAAAUACAUUGCUUUGUGAUUAGGGAUUAUGAUAACUCAGGUAUUAUACUGUAAUAUUAUAGUAUAGUAGGUUAGGGUGAUAUUUUAAAAGCUGUCACUUAAAGAUGUCACUUUGAUGACUAGGGUGAGCCUGACACAAGCCAUGGUAAUUUUCAACUGGACAAUUGAAAAGGAAGACAAAAGGAGAAUUGGUGAAUUCAAAUUGUUAUGUUGGUGAAGAAUAUGCGGACUGCUAGAAAAAUGAACAAACCAGUCUUGGAAGAAGUACAGCCAGAAUGUACCUUAGACCCUCCGAGGAUGGUGACUCUUCAUCUCGCUUAGUUUGGCCAUGUCAUUAAGAAGACUAAUCCCUAGAAAAGCACAUUAUGUUUGGUAAAGUAGAAGGCCAACGAAAACGAGAAAAACCCUCAGUGAGAUGGAUUGAUACAACAGCUGAAACAAUGGGUUCCGACAUACGAUCAGGUAGACGGCGCAGGACAGGCAACAUUUUGUUCCCUUAUGCAUAAGGUCGCUGUAAGAUUGAGCUGACUUGAUUGGUAACUGACAACAGGAUCAUAUAUAUCCUGGCUGAUACCCGCUGUCCUUGCAUAGUAAUUAUUAAAAUAUCACCCCCUUUUAUUCCAUAAAAGUUUGUAUGAUAUAUGAUUAUAACCCGAAGCCUGGUGCCGCAGGGGUUAAGAGCUCGGCUGCUAACCACUUUGAAUCCACCAGCUGCUCCUUGGAAACCCUGUGGGGCCAUUCUGCUCUGCCCUGUAGGGUUGCUGUAUGUCAGAAUCAACUCAAUGGCAACGGUUUUUUGGGGUUUAUAGUUAUAACAAAAAUAGACUUUUUAGAGAAGAGAGGUAUUAACUAAAAAAGGUGAGAAUAUCAAUAUAUAGCUUCAGGUAUUUCAAAGUUGUUGUAGUGGCAGUGACGUUUAAAAAUAUCCUAACUGUAAAUGUUCGUUGAAGGCGGCCUGGUGGCACAGCACUCAGGUCCUGACCGAAAGGUUGGUGGCUUGAACCCGCCCAGCAGCUCUGUGGGUGAAAGACCUGGCAGUCUGCUUCUGUAAAGAUUACCAAAAAAGCCCGGAACCCACUGCUGUCAAGUUGAUUCUGACCUUUCGGCUACCAGCCGAGCCCCUAACCACUGCGCCACAGUGAAGAUUACUGCCUAGAAAAUCCUAUGGGGCAGUUCUGCUCUGUCACGUGGGGUCGCCGUGAGUCGAAAUCGACUUGAAGGCAUCCAGGAACAAAAUGUCCAUCGAAUGUUCUUUAGAACAAAACAACUUUUUGGAAAAAAGGGUGAUUGCUACUAUGACGUAAUUCCUACAUGGUGCCAAAGCACCUAAUCUAAUAUUUAAGAUAGUCAAAUGUGAUGCAUAAAAUUUUUUAACAGAAUGAGUCAGCAUCUCAGUUAGGAACUUCAGCUUUUAGAGUAAAAUUGAAUGUUUAAAUUUUCCUUUUUCCCACUUAUAAUUAAAGUUAAUGAAUCAUGAGCCUUCAUUUAACAUUGCUUAACCCAUGUAAAAUAUAGAAAACAAAUAAUGAUUAAAAACAGAGGUAUUGUUUUUAGGAGAUAAAUGCUUUAUAUUUGUCUUUUUAAUUUACCUUUUAAAAAGAUAGAUUACUUCAAGUAAAUUAUUUUUCACAUUUAAAUGAAUAGGUAUGAAGUCGAGCAAGUAAAACAUAUCUUAGUAAGAAAACAAUUUAUUUUCUGAUUUAAUACUAAUCAACCAUUGCUAAUGUGCUAUAAAAUCCCACUUAGGAGAGAUACUAACUCCAAUUAUUAAAGUUAAUGGCCUACAGUUGCCUCAUCUUGCCUUAGUCUAGGAUAUUAAGCAGGCAGAACCCAUAAUUUAAUUAUCACCUGUUAAUAUUGGCUCUCAGUUCAUUUCUUUCCUUUCAGGAUGAAGCUUUAGUGAUGAGCCAAUUAAAAGCUAUUAUCUUCCUACUCAAAACACCAGCCUGCUAGCUACACCCACAGUUGACAGACCUGCUGGGACUUUCAGGAUGGAACUUGGUGCUGCUUGCCUUUAGGGAUUGCUCAAUGAAAGGAAAUGGCUAUUUUUGUCCAUUUAUAUUUCUAAUUUUUUAAACUUCCAAGCUUUUAUGAAGAUGGUAUCUUUGAAAGAUAUAUUUAUAUACCUUAAAGGCAAUUAGAGAGGGAUACUAUUCUACCAUAAUAGGCAGAACCAAAAAAGAAACCUAGACUCUUACUUCUAUUUGGACACGUAAACCCCUUGCCGUCAUGUGGAUUCUAAGUCAUAGCAACCCUAUAGGACAGAGUAGAACUUCCUCAUAGGGUUUCCAAGGAGUGGCUGGUGGAUUCAUACUACCAACCUUUUGGCUAGCAGCUGAGCUCUCAACCACUGUGCCACCAGGGCUCCUUGGACAUCAUAAGGUAUAACAAACGUUACAGAAUGUGGUACAACAAGAGGGUUACCUCAUCAAAUCCCACUGAGAUGCACUAGAGAAACAUGCAGUCAUUUUACAGGAAAUUAUUAGAAGUUUAAAUUUUGUCGCUUGUACCCUCCUGAUAUAUGUACCAUUCCACUGAAAUCUAAUUUUAUCAAUUCACUCAUGGGAAUCAAACUCUGGGAAAUUAAUUUGUGCUAACCAAACUCAGAAGAGGUUGAUUUAUAAACUAGUGAAUCACUUUUUAAUUUAUCGUGGGAAUGUUACCAGAUCCAAGAACCAGAAAAAUUCACCAGGUGUGUUUGAGUUCCCACUGCCCUCAGUGUAGACAUUACAGUGAAUACCAAGGGGAGAAACAGCCUCAGUGAAUUUAUAACCUGGUUGGAGGGCUUAGACCACAAACCAACCAAAACCAAACCCGGUGCCAUCAAGUCGAUUCUGACUCAUAGCGACCCUAUAGGACAGAUUAGAACCGCCCCAUAGAGUUUCCAAGGAGCGCCUCAGGGAUUCGAACUGCCGACCUCUUGCUUAGCAGCCAUAGCACUUAAUCACUACACCAGCAGGGUUUCCGGCUUAGACCACAGUAGGUAAAAUACGAGUUAGGCUACAGUGAAAGACAGGAGUGAUGUCUCAUUUCCUUCUGCUAGGUGGACUGUCAGUUGGGGAACCAUAUUACACGUUAGGUGGAUUUUUUUAGUUGAUGUGUUUUAAGGAAUAUUUUUUUCAAGCCACUAUUGGUUAAUGAAUUGUCUUUUCCUUUUUCUCUGCAUGUUUCUGUGUAAAGAACCAGGACUUGCCCUCUAUAAUGAGCACAUCUUUGCUCAUACAUACGCUAUAGAUGUACAACCAGAGCUGUAAAGCUCUGUGUCUAGAUCCUUGAAAACUCCAUGCUCCCUGCAGUUACCACCUCAGCUUCUGUAUUUCUGUACUGUAUGGUCUCAGCUAACUUGGAGGUUAAUUCCGAAGUUAACACAAAAGGGAAAAUUUAUAUAUAGCCAGUGUGCUCUUAAAAUCCCACAAGUAGCCUAUAAAUUAGAGUAAUGCGACUUUAGUAAAACAGUGUUCAGCAAUAUGAAUGUUUAGUAGAACAUGAUAUGUAAUAACGAGUACAUAAAGUGUCUUCAUUGCAGCAAUUUAAUUUGGAGGGGUAUUUUAAUAAAGGUGUUUUUGUAAAUAUGUAUACAUAUACAGAGAGAGAGACAGCCAUAGUUAGUCCUUGGUAUGUACCCUACUACUAGGCAGAAAGUUGGCAGUCCAUCCAGAGGCACUGUGGAAGACAAGCCUGGUGACCUGCUUCCGAAAGAAAGGUCACAGCUUUGGAAACCCUGUGGAGCAAUUCCACUCUGACACACGGGUCACCAUGAAUUAGAAUCAACUCGGUGGCAACUAACAGUAUUUUGUAUAGGUGUGUUUGUGUGUAAUGCAAAUCCUCUGUCAUAAUAUUCAUGUUUGCAGUUUUCUUCUAUUUAUUAGAUCUUAGGUGGGCCACUGUCUAACAAAAUGUUCUGGAGUACCUGUCUUUCACAUCACAAGAUGAGUGUGCUUCUUUUGAGGAGCUUUCCUAUAAUCGGUUUAUUUUAUACGUUUCGUGUCAAUUUCUAUUAACUUCAGUCACAGACAUGGAUCCUAGAUUUGGAGGUUAAAUGUCAGUAGUCCUACUCUUUUUUAAUUACUUUGUUCCCCAACAUAUACCAUGCCGCUGGCUGGCAUUGGGCCUGUGUUCUGUCUCUGAUUAUGGAUAGGAUAAAGCUGAACGAGCCUCCAAGGAAGUCAGACCCUUUGACCUUGAUGUCAUUUGCGGUGCACUCAGUCAGCUGAGCCUCAGCACCCCAUACCUGGAAGAAUGACAAAGUCGUUUCGUUUGGCAAGGACACUGGAUCAGGAGUAGUUUUGUGUGUAUGUUUUAGCUUGCAUCUCAAGUGUGUUACUGUGUGGUUUUCUUCACUGUAAUAGUAAUUUUUAACGAUAGUGUUGAUAGCACUAAUUGUUCCCUGAUCAUCCUCACAGUGAGGUAGGUAAAUGUAGAUAAUAUUUCUCCCUUUAGGAGACCAAAGUUUGAAGACUUUGCAAAAGCCUUGAUUUUAAAGCCAGUGGCAGACCUAGACCUGAAUUUAUGACUGUGAGUUUGCCCCAUCAGAUUGAUCAGUGGUCUCUUGAUUAGAUCACGCCAUUCUGGAGAAUAUCGAGGGGACCUGUUGAAAGAUGGUUUCUAGGAUCUGGCACUGAACAUGUGUGAGCUCAGGCUCUGGGAUCCAGCAAUUGAGCGUGAAUUUCACCUGUUGCACUUAUUGGCUGGGUGACCUCCACCAAAUUAAACCUUCCAAGCCUCAGUUCCUCAUCUCCUUUAGAGUUUUUGAGACAAUUAAAUGAAACAAUAUUAGAUAAAGUACUUAGCAUAGUACCCUCGUAUAUGAUGAGUCUGUUAUUAUUUGUGUUUUUUUUUUAAUCUUAAUAAGGAUAUUUGAAAUUUCAAGUUUUCAACAGAUAUAUAUGUCUCUUAUAUGUGCAUGAGUCAAAAUUGACUGGACGACAAUGAGUUUGGUUUUUUUGGUAUAUGUGCAUGUACAUUGGCAAAUGAAACCUUUACUAAAUUCAGUUUUUCUCCCUAGGAAUUACCUAUAUAUAUAAAACUACCUGUAUGCUCAUGGAGACCCACGUAACCACUUCUACGAUAUUUUUAUACAAAUAACGUGAGCCUUCUGCGUGCGUUUGUUGGCUGUGCCCUCCCCCCGUGAGACACCCUCACAAGCUCCACCAUGCCAAUACUCUUCUACAUGUUGCUGUAAAAAAAAAAAAAAAAAAAAGCGUUCACCCAAAACACAAUAAUAAUUAAAAAAAAAAAAAAUUAGCAUACCACACUUACAGAAGUCCCUCGAGUGGGGAGGGUGUAGCUGGCAAACAAAUGCAGAAGGUGAGCGUCAAGACCAAAAAACCAAAUCCAGUGCCGUCGAGUCGAUUCCAACUCAUAGGUGAGCAUUAUUUGCGUAAAAAUAUGGUAUUCCCAAUACCUAUUUUUGAUAUUUUAAAGCUUAUUAUCCCUCCUGUAACAGUUUCUGAAUCUGCUAUUACAUAAAGUAUAUUAUUACAGUUGAGAGGUAUUAAAAGCAGAACAGGAAACCACACAAAUUUCUUAAAAUAAGAAUACAGAGUAAGCUCAGACACAUGUUGUUUAUGUAUGUAUCUAAAAGGGAAAUAUAAUCAGGGAGUAGAACAUACUCAAAACUAACCACAAAUGAUGAGUAAAACAAAUACCACCGUUUACCUUAAAAUUACUCACAUCUUACUUUCAUUAGUAUAUGCAGGAAUUUGAUUAAAAUACUCACAAAAUUUUUUCAAAGCUGCUACGUGUGCCCCAACCGAAUAAUUCUGCUGUAGUGUAGAUUAUACCCUAAAACAUAUACCUGAAGCUGAAUAUGUGGGACUGCUUUGUCCUUCCAAGCCACAAAAGCCUGCAUCCUAUGUGACCAAACUCUGUCCUCUGCAGGUACAAACCCAUGCUUCUCAGAGCUUGGUAUAUGAGCUGUUGGUGGCACAUGUACAUGUAUUCAAACUGUUUGUAAGUAGCUCUCAAGUUCUUUUAUUCAUGGAGAAUAAAUUUCAUGAUCACCUGUUAAAUUCACCGGUGAAUUGUCUUUUGUUUUUGAAUUGAUAAAGUUUCUCUUUGAGAUGCAUUUACUUACGUUUUAAAAAGGUGUUGAUUAAAAAGUUCAGGAUGAAAACUAGUAUGGGAAUAGGGCAAAAAACACAAAUGUUACAUGCAGUUGGCUGAAGUUUUAGAGACUCUGACCUAAGCAAACCAAAACCAAACCCACCGCCAAGUGGAGUCAGUUCCAACUCAUAGAGACCCUUUAGGACAGAGUAGAACUUCCCCACAGAGUUCCGAAGGCCGUACGUAGUCUUUACUGAAGCAGACUGCCACAUCCUCCUCCUGUGGAGCUGCUGGGGGGUUCAAACCAUUGAGCUUUUGGUUAGCAGCUGAGUGCUUUAACCACUGUGCCACCAGGGCUCCGGUAAACAAAGGCGGAUAAUUGAUAACAUUUUAACUUAAAUAUUUUUGAUAUACAAGUUUUACUUAAUAAUAUUAAUAGUUAUCUUAUUUGACAAAUCUCUGUGACUCCUUUUAACUAUUGCAUUUUUAGUUGCACUGAUUUGUGGACGUUUGUGCAAAUUCUGUGUUGUGAUCUAUACACUCUUAGUGACUGAAGUGUUUCCUCUAAAAGUAGUACUGCUAUAUAUAUCUUUUGGGUGGAUGGCUUUCAAAAAAUGCGUUGAUACUUAUUGUAUUGUCAUGAGAUUGAAUAUCUGUGGCCAGUAAGAGAAAUUUUAAAGUACAUAGUUAAAAAGUAGCUCUUCACACCUGAAGAAAUGUUCUCGUGUUUCCCCGUUUCUUCAAAAUUAUGUAUUUAUUGAGCUCUUCUAUCUCAGCCAUGAUGCUGAACUCUUUUAAGUGUAGAGUGGUAAAUCAAAUAGACUUGAUUCCUACCCUUCUGAACCAUUCAGCUAAUAGCCGAGGUGGACAUUAGACAGUUCAACACACUUCUCUGAGGAGGUAUUAAAUUGAAAAUCUAAAGAGCAAGAGGUGGAGUGAGGUCCAAGCAGAAGGAUCAAAUGCAGAGAUCUGAGUUGUUGGCCUGUUCAGCAGGAGCUUUUGUGAACAAGAGGAAGAGUAGUGAGAGAUCAGACUGGAAAGGUAGACAGGACCAGUUUGGGAGUCUUCCUUCUAGAUGUUAUCUCUUUAUAAUAAGUUAACUCUCAGUGAAACUACAGUAGAGCAAAAGUUGUCGGUUUAUCUUGAAUAUAAAGGAAAGAAAUACUAAGAAAUUUGAGUACCAUGAAAAAUUCCAUUAAAUUGCUAAGCUUCUCCAUUAAGAAUAAAAACAACAGCAUCAUUUUGUUGAAAUUGCCACAAAAAGGGUCUCUAACUGCUCAACUUACCUAGGUUUCUACAGGCAGAUGGCCCUUGGGGAGGUGCCAUAGGAAUUCCCUUCAAUCUGUAACAAUGCUUUGAAUUUCCCACUCCUUCCCAGUUUGGGGAAACUGCUGUCUGUAACCACAGUGCCACACCUGUCAUGUUUUCCCUUGAAUCUAGGAAGAAAAUGCAGAACCGGGUCCUUAGUGACAGUGGAAAGAAGAGGGAAGAAGAAGGGGAGGCUGGGAAGAAGAAGAAGAGGCUGGGAAGAAGAAGGAGAGGCUGGGAAGAAGAAGGAGAGGCUGGGAAGAAGGAUAGGCUAUUCAAGGAUAACUUCUCUCUUGGGUUCAGUCCUUUCAUUUCUUCUCCAACAGGACUCCCUGCCCUAUGCGUUUUCUUCAUAUUUAACACACACAUGGUAACCUGUUAUGUUCAACACUCUACAGCCUUUGUCAGAUAAGAACUUCCUGAGAAUUGGCGUCCCUGACCUUUAUCCUCUGUAGUCGAAUUUUCAGCUUCCUUUUUUUUUUGGGCCCCAUUCCUUACUUCAGCUCUCUAGGAGUACUUAUGCACCUACAGUCAAUGAUUUUGAUCUGGGGGUUCUUGGUCUGUAUAAAUGGUGUACAUACCUUGCUUGUAUUGUACUUUUGAGUAUACCUUCCCUUGAUUCAGAAUUGGAUUCUCCAAUGAUACUCUGUAUUUCAGGUACAUUAUGGUGUAAAUGAUUUUUUAGGAACUAUUGUGGGAAAGAUUCCCACAUUUAUGAAGUAAUUGGGUAAGUGGAUUCCAGACCCUAAGCAGCUAAGGUCGAUAGACCAAGUUUUGAAAUAUAAUGAGUUUAAAAGUUGGGAACUGCUUGAACUAAACUAUAUUCUCAUUUUCAGUGUUCCUGUUCUGUGUAACUUGUGAGUCCACAGUGUUGUCAUUGAUGGUUUGUUGAUGUUAGUGAAUAGAGCCUCCAUGUGUCCUGCCCUCAUAACUGAAAAGGGAUCAAACUGCUUUAGGGAAAACAUCUGUGAGGUGCUGAAUGUUGUGUGUGAGUCAUUCCUUAAGACCCCUCCUUUGCUCUGCAUGGCCUUCCUGCCAGUACCCUGACUGGGUAAAAUUCAGCUGGACAAUCAAUAAGGAAGACCAAAGAAGAAUUGAUGCCUUUGAAUUGUGGUGUUGGUGGAGCGUAUUGAAUAUACCAUUGAUUGCCAGAAGAAGGAACAAAUCUGUCUUGGAAGAACUGUAGCCAGAAUGCUCUUUAGAAGCAAGGAUGGUGAGACUUCAUCUCACUUACUUUGGACCUGUUGUCAGUCCCUGGAGAAGGACAGGGUCAGGGAGAAAGAGGAAGACCUUCAAUGAAAUGGAUUGACACGGUGGCUGCAACAGUGGGCUCAGGCAUAACAGCAAUCAUGAGGAUGGCGCGGGACCAGGCAGUGUUUCGUUCUGUUGUACGUAGGGUCGCCAUGAGCUGAAACCCACUCUGUGGCAGCCAAGAACAUCAACAGCAAGAAGUUUCAUAUAUGCUUAUUUUCUUUUAGAUAAAAAUAAAAGUUUUUUUUUUUGUGUGUGUGUGUGUGGGUAUAGUGUUGGUUGUAUUAGAAAAUAUGUUUUUUAAUGUCGAUUUCCCAGUGUUAAAGAUUUGGAGAGUGGAGAAAGAUGUAGAUUGAGGAGGUGGAAGAGGGUGUAGGGGAGGCUGCUGACCACAAGAAAUCUCACAGGUUAUGUUGGUCUGAGGAUUCUUUUCCACCCUCUUGCUCUUUCUCAAUCCUUGGGAUAACUUAUUCUAACAUAAGAAUAAUAAUUACAUAACCCAUUUUUUAAAACAGCUGUUGCAGCCUGAGAUAUUAAUUUAAAAAAAAGGGCAAGUCACAAAAGGCAUUGUAAUCCAUGUUAAGGAGUUUAUGCUUUAUCUGAAGGCAAAAGAAUAGCUGCAGAGUUUUUUAAGUAAGAGUAACAUUUUCAGGUCGGAGUUUUGGGAAGUACUGGCAGAACUGGAAGGAUGGAUUUGAAGGAAGAAAAGUAGAAGCGGGAAGAGUGGGUAGGCUAUUACUGCAUUCGUAGGGGUGAGAAAUGAUUGUAUGCAGAGUAGGAAGAGUAAAGGACUGGGGGUUUUGACUUAAGCCAUGAGUAGAUGGUAUGUAUGUUUCUGUUUUUUUUAAGAGUGAUAGAGUGGUAAUUCAACUUUGAACAUACUGAGUUUGAGGUGUCUUUGGGACAUCCAAGCGGAAAUGUUAGUAGGUGAUCGAACACAUACAUUAGCCAACAUAGAGGAAAGAGCUGGGAGUAUGGAUUUGGAAGUCCAGGUGGAAGAAAGUGAUUGAAUACAGGGAAGCAGGUGAAGUUACCAAUGACAAGUCUAUAGAGUGAAAGAGAAGUUAACUGGCUUUCAAGGGAGGAGUGGAUGAAGUAGUUAGGGCUUCUCAUUCCCCCUUAUUGAUGAAAAUAAAAGCGUUUGAAAGGAAAUUAAUAAUAACUUUUAAAGUACCUGCCCUUUUCCAAUUUAUAUUUCAAAAUAUUCUCGAAAGUUUUCAACUAAUUCCUCAUCCACUGUAAUAAAGUUCUUCGUCCCACUUAGUAAAUUGCCCUUUUUCAUGCUGUUUAUAUAAAAUCAUCCUUUUGUUUGUGUUGAAGCCGUUGUUCAUACACUGUGUCCCUGUUUGCCAGCAAUUGUUCUAAAAUCAUGUUCUUUUCAAUAGCUUUGCGGCAAAGGGAUCACUUAAUUUCUGACUAUUGUAGUCCCUUCUUUCUUCUGUUUUGUCUAAUUACUAGUCUUAUAUUGCAGUGGUUAUCUGUCUUUUCUCAUAGCAAAUGUCCAUUAUUUUAGGUGUAUCACGAGUUAAGUUGACACCUCUGGGCCAGUCUGUGAACCUAUUAUUUAUUGUUUCUCUGGGAAAAUGUGUUCUGAGUUUCUGUUGCUUAUUUUGAAGAAAUACUUGAGGUGUAACCUUCUUGUAAAUUAGGAGACUGGCUCUAUCUAUAAAAUACAGCUUCUUAUGGACACUUAUUUGUCCCAGCCUUCCCUCCUCUCUUAAAGUUUGAUGAUAUACCCUUAUGGCACUGGAUUUUUAACUAAAUUAUUCCAUAUUAUCGUGCCAUUAUAACUUGCUCAUAGAUAAACGAACAAGGAAAUAGUUUGUGUGCCCAUCAAUGAAUGCGUUAUUUCUAAUAGGAUGAUAUAAAGCAAACAAGGUUUUAAUUUCAUGUCACAGAAAAGGAUUAAUAAAUUAACUCCACAGUUUAUCCACUUAACAUGCUCCCAGUGUUUUCUUAUACUGGAAGAGAGAAACAUUUUGACAUUGGAAAAUUAACCCUUUGGGCAUUUGAUGUUACUUUUAAAACCAAACCAACGUAACUUUAAUUUCUGUUAAAAUGAGUGAUUAAGGUUGUUGAUACCUUGAUAAGAUCCUAUUUCUGGUAGUGUUUGUGAAUUGCUUUAAAGAAAAGGCUAAUUCAUCUUUUUCAUCAUGGUUUCAUUAAAUUGUCCUUUGAUUUGAAUUGCAGCAAUUAUUUGUACUCUCUGUCGCUGUUCACAAGCAACUGUUUGAGAAUCAUGUUCUUUUCAGUAGCUUGGCUGCAAAGGGCUCGCUUCAUUUCUGGCUGUUGGAGUCACAGGAACAGCUGUUUACCGCUGCCCAGAGCUGUGUCUUAGCAUUGGAUGCUGUGACUCAGUGUGCCCUUAGAACACUCCUUCUGUCCUCCUGGUUCAUGGUCUCCCCGAGUGAGAUCACCAUGCAGCAGCUGCCUGGACAGCCUUCUGCCGUCUAUUUUCAGUAGUGUUAUAUAUCUUCCCGCAUUGCUUCAAGGAUGAUAAACUGGCUGGACUCCAGGGCUUGUGCCGUAAUCCUGCCUUGUCAUUUAAUGUUAAGUGCAUCUCACAGCUGACACGGAUGAAACAGCUUAAGAAAUCAGAUAUGAUCUCUGGCAGAGCUAAAUCUCACUUUUGGAUGCAGGAUUAGGUUCUGUUUUGAUCAGCUUCAGGGCAAAUAUUUGUAUUCUUUCUAAUAUAUGUGUCACAUCUUUUCUACUCAUCAGUCCAUUCUCUCAUACUUUUGACUCCUGAGAUGCAUUAAACAAAACAAACAAAAAACCUAUUGCCAUUGAGUCGAUUUUGACUCACAACGACCCUAUAGGACAGAGUAGAACUCCCUAGGAGUUCCAAAGUUACAGUCUUCAAAACUGCCACAUCUUCCUCCCACAGAGCAGCUGCUGGGUUUGAACUGCCAACUUUUCGAUUAGCAGUUGAGUGCUUAACCACUGCACCACCACGAAUCCUUCUGAGAUGCAUUACUGAUCUGUUCGUACCAAACCAUACCUGUUGCCAUCGAGUCGAUUCCAACUCAUAGGGAUCCUACAGGACAGAGUAGAGCUGCCCCAUAGAGUUUCCAAGGAGCGCCUGGUGGAUUCAAACUGUUGACCUUUUGGGUAGCAGCUAUAGCUCUUAACCAUUAUGCCACCAGGGUUUUACUCAUCCGUAUUUGGGCUGAAAUCUGUACCCUCAGAACAAACUCAAUUCAACUGGUGUGGUUUAAGCCACAAAUUCUGCUCCAUCAGCAUAUAUUCUAUUAUUGUCAUAUCAAAAUGCGUAGACAUGUCCUUUUAAAGUUUAAAAAAAUUCUCCCCAACAUAAGAGUCAGUUUACCUGCCACUCAUAAUGGUUUCUUUCUGGCAUCCUUACUCGCCUUGAUAGGGACAUUGUAUGAAUAGUAGCCAACAUAUGGCUAAUUUCCAAAAUGUAAAGAUAAUUCACGUCGUUGCUUUCCCACUUCUGUAUCUCUGACACCAGCCACCCACAUGGCACUUUCUCCUGACCCUAACCACCCACAGUUGGGUCUACACAAGUUAGGAUUCUGUCCUUCCAGCCCCUGCCAAAUAGGCAAAUGCCAGCCUCUCUGCUGGUUCUCACUGCCUGCAGUGGGUUGGAUAAUUCGCCAGAAUGACUCACAGAACUCACAGAGACUAUUAUCUACAUGUACAGUUAGCCAUUUAUUACAACCAGAAAAGAUACAAGCUUAGAGAUGCAUCAGGCAAGGUCUGGGAGAGUUCCUAGCAGUGGGUCUGCGUUGUGUCUAGGGACCUUCACUCCCUUUACUGUGCAUGGACAUUCUCAUAGAUGCAGGAGGCCCCAAAGAGUGUGCUCCAAGGUCCUGGGUCCCCUAGCCUUUGGGGCCUCAGUGAAUAUGAAUGUCUCGGAGUUUAAUGCAUAGUUAACGUCUCUUCAGUCCAUGGAAUAUGUAUGCCUGCAUCAGGCCCCCCUGCCUCCCUCUGUAGCCUCUAACUGCCCAACUGUCUUGGAAAACAAAGGCAUCUUGAUUGUUCAGGUUAUUUCCAGAAACCAGAGUCAAAGGGCCAAACCAAAUUCUUUGUUCCACAGACAGAGACUUAAAAAUCUUUGCGAAUUAGGAGCUGUUUAUAGGAAACAGGAAAAAAAAAAUCUCAAAAAGUGCUAAAAAGAAAGAAAGCAGGUCAAUCAAUAUGUUACUUUAACCUACAAAUUGUAACAGAGCCAGAAUACCACAAUCAUUAUAGUUUUAACGAUUGUAAGACUUGGUUUAAUUUGGUUUACUAUAUAGCCAGUCUCCUCAUAUGCAUGCGAAAGCUGGACAGUGAAAGGGAGACAGAAGGACUGAUGCAUUCCGAUUUGUGGUGUUGGAUAUAUUGGAUAUGCUGUAGACUGCCAGAAGAACAAACAAAUCAAUCUUAGAGGAAAUACGGAGAAUGCUCCUUAGACGUGAGGAUGGCAAGACUUUGGACAUGCCAUCAGGGAAGCCCAGUGGCAGUAAAGGACAUCAUGUUUGGUAAAGUAGAAGACCGGUGAAAAGAGUAAAACCCUCAAUGAGAUGGAGUGACAAGAGAGCUGCAACAGCGGACUCAAACAUACCAAGGGCCAUGAGGAUGGCACAGGACCUGGCAACUUCUCAUUCUGUAACAUAUAAGGUCUCCAUGAGUCAGAAUCAACUCGUUGAUAUCUAACAGUGGCAACAAAACAACAUAUAGCCAAUACUUAGCCCUUAUAUUAGGAAUAGCUUUAUAAAUAAUUGAACAAACAUGUUCUUGCCCUUUAUUUUAUUUAUGGAAACGCACAAAACAUCCUGAAAAAUUACUCCUAACUUGAAGCAAAAUUAUCCAAUUUGAAUUUGAUUACAUCUUAUCUAUAUCUGGUAAAGCAGAAAAUGAAUGAUUAAACAGCAAAAGCUGUCAGCAAGGAGGAUAAGAAGAAAACCAAGGACAUGGACAAUCUACAGAUUGUAUCAGCUUGCCUUGAAUGUUUGCUGUUUACUCUGGUGGUUCAGUUCAAAUCCAUCUGCUGCUCCUUGGAAAGCCUAUGGGGUAGAUCCACCCUGUCCUAUAGGGUCACUAUGUGAGCUACUCUUAAAUGAUUCCCACCCUUAGGUCAUUGUCAACAUCAUUGCCAAAUUGAGUCCUUCAGUUUCUAAAUGUUCUCAUUAGUAACUUUCGAAUCGAUGCAAACUGUCAAUUAAGGAUGUUGCCACAGUCAUUUCCUUAAUUGGUUGCAGACUUUGGGCUGAAACUCAUAAUCCAAAAUUGUUGCUCAAAAUAGUUGCUUUAGGGGGGAAAAAGACUUCAGUCUUUACAAGAAUUAAAUGUUCUAUUGUUCUUUAAUAAAUAGAAGAUAAUCCAAAUCAACUUGCCCAGGUCACUUAGGUUUUACAUUAAUGAGGUUUUAGUAUGUAUUUUCAUGAUUAUUGAGGUCAUAAAAAAGUUUCAUUUUGUGGAAGAGAUGGCUUUGGAUGGUGUCUUAGUCAUCUAGUGCUGCUGUAACAGAAAUACCACAAGCGGGUGGCUUUAACGGACAGAAGGUUAUUCUCUCAUAGUCUAGCAGGCUAGAAGCCCGAGAUCGUGGCGUCAGCUCCAGGGAAGGCCUUCUCUGUUGGCUCUGGAGGAAGGUCCAUGUCAUCAGUCUUUCCCUGGACUAGAGCUUUUCUGUGUGGGAACCUUGGGUCCAAAGGAUGCUGUCUGCUCCCGGCACUGCUUUCUUCGUGGUAUGAGGUCGGUCCCCCUGUCUCUCUGCUUGCUUCUCUCUUUUAUAUCCCAGAAGAAAUUGGCUCGAGACACAAUCCAAUCCUGUAGAUUGAGUCCUGCCUCAUUAACAUAACUAUUGCCUAUCUCCCCUGCCCCCCCAUUAACGUCAUAGCCAUAGCACUUAACCACUAUUUCACCAGGGUUUCCUUACAACACAGAGGAAGAUCAUACAAGAUGACAAAACGGUGGACAAUCACACAAUACUGGGAACCAUGGCCUAGCCACAUUGAUACAUUUUGGGGGGACACAGUUUAAUCCAUGACAGAAGGAGAGCCAGCCAAUUAUUAAGAGAAAAGAUUUUUAUUUUUUGUGCCGUCUUUUUCCUUGAUUUGUGCGUAGGUGUAGAUCUGCAGGGUUGCUGUGAGUCGGAAUGGACUUGACGGCAGCAGGUUUGGUUUUGGUUUUGGUACAUCUUGUAGUUUGAUUUCAGCCUUUCUUAAAGGAGAGUGCUUUAAACUAAGGGCCAGGAGGAUCCAUUUUGAAUCUUAAUUCUUUCCAUCAGUUUACCCAGCACCUUCACUUUGGUGAACCAGAUCAAACAUUUCUUGAAAGCCCGUUAUGUGCCAUUUAACCUUUCUAUACUUUGGAGCCCUGAUGUGCAGUGGUUAAGAGCUGUGCUGCUAACCAGAAGGUCAGCAGUUCAAAUCCACCAGCUGCUCCUUGCCCUAUGGGGCAGUUCUACUCUGUCCUACAGCAUCACUAUGAGAUUUUUUUUUUCUUUGUAUACUUUAGAUAACUGUAUCUGUAAAAUGAAGAGAAAGACUACUCUUCCAUACCCUUCCUGGUUGUGAAAGGAUGAUUACUUGAGAUACUCUCAUUAUCUUGGGAGCUCUGGUUGGAUUCAUAAAGUGUUAUGGUGAGCAUGACCCUCAAAAUAAUGAAGGUAUUGGAGCUAAUAACUUACUACUUAAAAAGCCUCAUCAAAUUUCUUAAAAUUAUACUGAGAAAAGCCUGAGGAACUGUUAUCAGGAAGUUUAUUACUGGAUAUUAAUUAGCACUUUUAAGAUUCUCUGUUCCUCCUUCAAGAUCAGCAUCAACUUUGUCUCUCAUAAAUUAGAAUUUUAGGGGGACUUACUGAUAAAGUGUUGAGGUCAGGAGGUCAAGAGGAUGGGAAGGAUGAUUAUUGGGGAACAUUUUUGUAAAUUAAAGUGAUGAGAGUCCUUUUAAUACACAUUUAAAGCAAUAUGGGGGAGCCAGUAGCUCUUUCUUGAAUGUACAUCUUCCCCAGAGAUGUGCUAGAUGAGUGGAGGAGUAGGAAAGAGAGCAUUGUAUUGGCCCUUAAAGAGGUUAUUUUUAUGGGAGAAUAGAUUUACAUUUACAUAAUAGCCAGAACUUCAAAAGUCCUCCAUUGUGAAAUGAUAAGAUUGUUGGGUAGAGACUAAAGUGGUUAUAGUAGUUAAGAGAAGCCACCAGCGUAGACUUACCAUUGUCAAGGAAGCUUCCUGCAGGUUGUGGCACUUGGGCACGCUACAUGUCUGCUGGAUGAACAGGAAGUUUUCUGACAAAGGAGAAGGUGAUUCCAAGAACAAGUAACAGCAUGACCUGACACAUGGGCCUGAAACAAUGACAUCUUGGUGACAGCGAGUAUAGAACUUGCUCUCUAAUCACCAUUCGCCACAAAAAGAAACCUAGACUCCUCGGAGAAACAACUGAUUUCAGAUGUGGAGAGAGAAAGUAUAAGAUGAGCCUGGGAUAUCUUGUGCCAAGAAACAAGGAAGCACUCAAAAACCAACUGUAGUAUGUUAACCUCCCCGUCCCCCAAUAAAAAACCCAUUGUCGUCAAGUUGAUUCCGACUCAUAGCUACCCUAUAGGACAGAGUAGAACUGCCCCGUAGAGUUUCCAAGGAGUGCCUGGUGGAUUUGAACUGCAGACCUUUUGGUUAGCAGCUGUAGCACUUAACCACUACGCCACCAGGGUUUCCAGUGUGUUAAAAGGGCGUAGGAAAGAAUGUAACCAAAGUCACAGACAACUUGUGUAAAAAUUGUUGAAUGGGAACGUAAACUGCUAUGUAAACCUUCACCAAAAACACAAUAAAAUAGUACUUAAGGAGGGGUGGAGCAUAAGAGUCCCACUGUCUAAAUUUGAGGUAAUUUGGAACCUGAAAAGAUGACUGUAAUUGAUUUAACAUUAAACCAAAAACCAAAACCGUUUCUGUCGAGUCAAUUCCGACUCAUAGCGACCCUAUAGGACAGAGUAGAACUGCCCCGUAGAGUUUCCAAGGAGUACCUGGCGGAUUCGAACUGCCGACCUCUUGGUUAACAGCCGUAACCCUUAACCACUAUGCCACCAGGGUUAACAUUAGAUAAAGAAGAAACCCAUGAGCCCAUCAUAAUACAGAGCUGACCAGAAUACAUUUGCUACCAUUGGAGAUUACUAUUACUUUAAUUCCUUAUUUUGAAAAUUGGUAUAUAAAGGGAAAUAAUUAAGUUUUAACCCUGCCUCUUCAAGUUGAUGAUGGAAAGCUCUUUACGUAAGAAUUUAUCAGCUAAUAAAUGUGGGUAAUAUGGUUGAGUUAGAAAACUCCCUGUUUUUUGAGUUCUUUGUGCAUACAUGGUACUCUACAGGUCUGGUAUUUCAAUAUCUCAGAAUGAUUUUUUUCCUCUUGACUCCCAUACGAGUGAGUGAAAUUUUCUAGUGCUCUUUUAAAGGACAGAGCAACUCUUGGAGGUUCUCAGCUUUAUGCAGGAUUCUUGUUUUCAGCCCCUCCACCUCCUGAGGUCUAGAGGCCACAACUUUUGGAUGUGUAUCAAAACCUUCACAAAAGCCUGUAUCAAGUACCAGCAACCCCAAAGGCUGCCAAAACUGGGGAGUUGCCGUUGUCUUCAGAUCUUUUCUUGUCUUUUAUAAGCAUUUGUAUGUGUUUGUUCUGGGAGGGGUUCCCGUGCUUCAGUUUAUUCUGCUGUGUUGACAGAAGUCCUGCUGCCAAGACAGCACUUAGUCAUGCUUCGCACCAUGAUGCCUGCAGGGAUCACUGAGGUAGUGAAGUAAAGCAGGUGAACAGUAGGGAGUGGUGGGGAUUGUGGAGGACUGGAGAGGUGGGGCAAGUGGUUAAACAAAAGCUUGGCCCUUGGAAGCCCCCUGAAAUGCCUCAGGAGUCAGGCCUGGCAAUCUGCUUUUGAAAGGUCCCCAGCCUUGAAAACCCUGUGGAGUACUCAGUACUCAUGGGGUCGCCAUGAGUUGGAACUGAUUGACAGCAACUUAACAACAAGAGAGCACAUACUCUUUUUUUUUUUUUUUGGCUUUGGGUGAAAGUUUACAGCUUAAGUUAGUUUCUCAUUCAAAAACUUACACACAUCUUAUUUUGUGACAUUGGUUGCAAUCCCCACAAUGCGACAGCACUCUCCCCCUUCCCACCUCAGGUUCCCCGUGUCCAUUCAUCCAGUUUUCCUGUCCCUUCCUGCCUUCUUGACUUGCCUUUGGGCAAGAGUUGCCCCUUUGGUCUCGUAUAUUUGAACUAAGAAGUGCGUUCUUCACACAUGUGACCAUUUGUUUUGUAGACCUGACUAAUCUUUGACUGAAAGACGGACUUCGGGGUGGCUUCAGUUCUGAGUUAGCAGGGUGUCUGGGGACCGCAGUCUCGGGGGUUCUUUCAGUCUCUGUCAGACCAAUAAGCCUGUUCUUUUUUUGUGAAUUUGAAGUUUCUUCUACAUUUUUCUCCUGCUCUGUCUGGGACUCUGUUGUGAUCUCUAUCAGAGUGGUAGGUGAUGGUAGCCAGGCAUCUAGUUCUGAGCUCAGGCUGGUGGAGCCUGGUUCAUGUGGUCCUUUAAUCCUUUGGGCUAACACUUCCCUUGCGUCUUUGGUUUUCUUCAUUUUCCUUUGCUCCGAACCUGCUGGGACCAAUAGAUGUGUAUCUUAGAUGACCACUUUCAGGCUUUUAAGAUCCCAGAUGCUACUCACCAAAGUAGGACAUAGAACAUUUUCUUUAUGAACUGUGUUGUGGCAGUUGACCUAAGGAGAGUGCAUACUACCGCGGUAAAGGAGGACAGUUGCUACGCAGCUCAAACCAGCUGUUGCCAAGUAUGAACCGUUGCGUAGUUUUUCUAGAUAUUUUUGUUUUUUGAGAGAAGUUAGAUAUGCACUUCUUUGUGAGAGUCUGAUUUUUAAUUUUUGGCGGCUCAUACAAAUUUUUAAGAAAAGCCCAUACUGAUUGGAUAGAGUAGAGCAGUCUGUGCGCCAGACUUGUCAAAUUUUUAUAGUUUUCGUAAGCCAGGACUUUUUUUCAUAGUCCCAGCUCCUGACACAGCCUCUCAAAUACAGUAAGACCACAGUAAAUACCGAAAGAACUCAUUGUGCUUUAUUGUAUCUCUCGCACCUUUACAAAUAUUUAGGAAUAAAAUUGUAUAUGAAUGUUUCUGUAUUUUGUGCUUUCAUCAGAAUUAUUUGAUCAGGGGGCUGAACAAGAUUCAAGGCAUGUCACCCCUUACAAGUUAACCUCAAACUAUUGAUUAGCACUGUUUGAGUUUGGUGACAAACGAGCAUUACGGGAUCACCAUGAGAAGAGAGUGAGUUGGAUAACAGGAGAUGUUUGGGCAUAAAGUACAAGCUUCUCUUCUAUUUUGAUAGGAGUGGCAUCUGGUAUGCAGAAGUAAUUGACUAGUUCAUAGGGCAAGCAAGACCAUUUGUACCAGUUUCUCUAAAUAGAGUUGUGUUUGACUGGGCAGAGUUUUAGGAUCUUAAAGACACAAGUAGGCAAAGGUGAGAAAAUUAUCAAAAGCACAUGGGAGUGUGUGCCGUACAUCAGAAGUCAUCCCAUCUUGAAUCAUACCAAAUACUACAUCUGGCGUACUAGUUUAUGGAAGCCCCCUAGCUUUUUGGCAGUGAGUGAAGGGAUGUUAUGGUGGGAAUUAAUCUAAUGAUCUCGUAUUCUACUCAUAUCAUGAUGUAACCAGGUUAGAUCAGCACAAGUUGUCAGUCCUGACUUAAGAGUAAGAGUAAGAGUAAAUAGAAUGCUAAGGAGACUGUGCAUUGACAAGGUGUCAAAACCUAGUCAGCCAAGUGAGACCAAAGCCACCGUGGGCCAGAGCCAUAUGGCAGCCUUAAGGCCUAGAUGCCCAUCCUGUUCAGGGUGAGAGCUGAGCAAGCAGUAGCUGCCCAAGUCACAAAGACUUUAUCCUGGAGCACACCUGAACUGGCCUUAAAGGCUGAGCUUUCCAUACCUGGUGUCCAAGAGUGCUUUUUUAUUGAAAAUAAAUAAGUUUGUGGGCUUUCUGCUGGAUCAUUAAAAAAAAAAAAUUUUUUUUCCCAGCAAUUCCACUUCUAGGUAUGUACCUAAAAGACUUGAAAAAGCAGGGACUUAAAUGAAGACCUGUGUACCAGUGUUCAUUGCAGCACUAGUCACAGUAGCCAGAAGGUGGGAACAACCUAAAAGCCCAUCAGCAGAUUGAAUAGAUAAACAAAAGGUGCGUACACACAGUGCAAAACUACUCAGCCAGUAGGAGAAAGGAAGUCUUGGUGCAUAGGUGCUACCAUGUGGACGGAACCGGAAGACAUUGUGCUGAGUGAAGUAAGUCAGCCACAAAAGGACAAGUCUUGUUUGACCUCACUUAUAUAAAAAGACAAGAAAAGACAAAUGUAUAGAGAACAAAGUUUAUUAGUGGUUUCCAUGGGCGGGAGGGAGCUGGAAAAGGGGUUAACGGCCAAAAUAUCACCGUGACUAAAGGUGUAAGGUCGCACAGCCAGUGAUUAUAAUUGCCAUUGGUAAAUUAUGCGCCUUUGGAAAGUUGGGGGAAAAAUCAUUUCUGAAAGCAUUGGAAUUAUUUUGUUACAAUUCUGAGCCUGAAAUUUUCCUUCUGUGAAUUUUCUAAAACUGUAUCAAUUCUUUAACUUUACGGUUUCUGUUUUAGUAUUACUAUUAUCAGUUCCUAAUAUUUUCAUUCUGGAGACUCUAAAAUAGCUCUUGUGGGACUGACUUCCUGAGAAUACGGAGAGCUUUUCACAUCGAUGUAUUUUUCUUUAAGCUGACAUAAUAGUCUUGUCUGAGUGUGUGAUUUAGCAGGCUCCAAAAAGAUUAUUUGCUUUAAAAGGUCUCUGUAAAAAACACUCUCUUGCUCAGCUUUGUAGAUAUUUUUCUGCUUUGAACAACCUACCCAUCGAAAGGGUCUGUAAAAUUUCGAUUACUGUUUCUGUGGUUUUCUGUUUUUCAUGUACUAAAGCCAGGAAACACCGUUACAUCUUUACUUUGAGCAUUCACACUUAAAUCUGAGUCAGUGGUGUCACUCGGGUGUGCGGGGGGCGUGGACCACACUGGGCGACACUGUCGGGGUGACACCAAGAUGACUGUCUAUAAAAUUUUUCUGCAGUGUUCCAGCAGAAAUUUAUUAUUUUUAAUAAAAAUAUCCCUGUAGUUAGUUAAAACAACAACAUUUUUCAUAAGCUCAACUUACAUGUAUCGAUACACCCACAAGGCUAAAACUCUGUGCUGAUUUACUUUUUGAACCUUCUAACCUGCUCCAGUCAGAGCUGUCAUUAUUACCCAGUCACGGUGCACGCGCUACAAACAAAUGCCUUUGUUUUUGUUGCUGCCCGUGUUUCUAUAGGUGCUGAUUUUGUCAAAAAUUCCAGUGUUUCCGGUACAAGAUUGUGUUAGUGUUGUGAACCUGUAUCAGUGACUUUUUUGAGAAUGAAGUAGUAAUUGAAAAGAAAAUUCUUACCCAGUUUUCACUUAGCCACAUGAAAGUAAAUUAAUGUAAAUACAUUUAGGCUGUGCGUAGGAUAUUGUAAUUCAAGGUGUAAUUUUAAUUUUGCUAGUUGUUUCUGUCACUGCUAUUGCCGUUACAUUCAGGUACGUAUGGAGAUGACGACUACGGGUAACUUUAGUGCAAAAACCUGACUAGGGUUCUUUACGGCCUGGUACGGGAGAUGGUCCACGGUGGGGGUGACACCAUGAGUUACUGCACCGGGUGACACCAACCCGAGUGACACCACUGAUCUGAAUCACAGUAGCCAUCAUCCCAUUGUAACAAAUGAACAAGUACUGAUGUGGAUACACAAGUUUAUAUUUGGGUAUAUUACAGUGGUGACGUUGCAGCUAGUACUUACUGGAUACGUAGGUAUUUACUGUUCCUUGUUUACUGAAUGCUGUUUGCUUUAUGUACGUUGGAAUUCUUCACAGUAAUCCUGCGCGGCAAUCAGAUUACUCCCAAUUUGCUGAUGAGAAACCUAAAACAUUUGCACGGUUGGUUACUCACACAAAGCCACACAGCUAGUCAGUAGCGCUCUAUCACACUCCAAAACUAGGGUUUGUAACUACCUAACUCUAAGGUAAAAAGCGGGCAGUUCAGUUCCUAGAAAUCCACUUGAGUUGCCAAUUACAUUAACUGUUAGUUAAGCUGUAAAUUUUUAAAUCCUAGUUCCAUAAUAAUAGUAGAUUUAAGAUAAAUUUACAAUUUAUCUGGAAUGCAAACAUGUACGUGUUCAGGGAUGAAGACACUACGUUGCCUGUGUGUUAAGUCAUUAAGCACUCGUCAAAAUUUUUAUUGAGCAUUUACUGUGUGCUAGGUAUAGGGUCGCUAUGAGUAGGAAUUGACUCAGCGGCGCUGGGUUUGGUUUUUUUGUUUUGUUUUUAUUUUUUGUUUAGGUACUGGAAUGACAUAACAAUGAAAAAACGUGAUCCCCUUCCCCGUAACACUUAAAAUCUAUGUAGAUGUUUCUCAGCCUUUUUUGAACCCAUGCCUUUCUUGGAUAAACAACAACUAAAUGCCAUGCCCUCCCUAAUUUGGAAUGUCAAAAUAAAUUCACGUAUUCCUUACCAUUCGAUUCUAUUGGAUUCCUGAGUUUCUCUAGUGAGUGACAGUGAAAGCUUGAAUAAAAGGAAAGCAACUCUGUUCAGUUUCUGAAUUUGGGUAAUGAGAGUUCAGUUAUGGAGAGUGUGUGUUGUGAGCCACAUGUGUAUCAUGUCUGAAAAUAAUAAAGAGAAUGAAGUGAUGAUUUGUUUUAAGAUAACAUUAUUCCUGCAUCUGUGUUCUAGUAUAUACCCUCUGAAUAUAAAGAAAUUCCAUGAGACUACCUAUUCCUUUCUAAAAAUAAUUGUCACAGAAAUUUAAUAAAAUGUUUUAUCAUGUAGAUGUAAGUAUCGGGUAUGAAAAUAAAGGACUUGAUCCACAUAUGGGCAGUCCCCGACUCACGAUGUAUUCAAGUUACGAUGAACUGUGCUUAAACGAUUUUUUUUGUAAUAUGGACUACAUACAAUGUUAAAAUAUAUCUGGAAGUUUAUACGUAAUGUUUCUAACUCCCAAAGACAAAGAUUGGAUUUAUAACAAUACUGAUAAUAAAAGGUGUUAAUAAUAAAAACUUAAAAAAAAAAAGAGGUAUUCAACUUAUGUCAGAACCGACUUAGGACGGAGCUAUCAGCGAAGCCCCGUCGUGAAUCAGAGACUACCUGUAGUUGUUUAAAGAUAGUCUGCUAUGGUUUAUGCUGAGACCAAUGGCAGGGCAGAAAACCUCAGUUUUGAAAUAAGCCUUAAAAGAAUUUGCCAGCCAUUUGGUUCACAGCCAAGCUCUUAAUCAGUACACCACUAAGACUCCCUAAUCUAGUGAAUAAAAUAUAUAAUAUUUUCAGAAGAAUGCAGUGAGUUCAUUCAUUCAUUCAGCAGAUUGAAUACCUCAUGUAUGCUAGACUCUGUGUGAACUCUUCCCCUGGUCACAUGGAACUUAAAAUCUAGUGAAGUCCUUGUACAGGGCAAGAGGCGGUAUGUGUAGUCUGGAGACUGGCAGCUUCAGUUUACAUUCUAGAUCUUCAACUUAUUAGCUGCUUGACCUUGGGUGAAUUAUUUAACUUCUUUAUGCCUCAGUCCCUUCAUGUAUUUAAAAAAAGAAAGAAGAGGGUUCUAAUAGCAUCUACCUUGUAGACUUUUGUGAAGGUUAAAUAACCUAAUAUAUGAAGGGCGUAGAACAGUGCUUAGCAUAAUAAGUGUUACCUAUUUUUAUCAUUAUCUUAAUAUGGAUACAGAUGUUUAGAAAGAUUGCCCGUUAAGGGGAUCUUGGCCUGGUCUUGGGAACGUGAGGGUCAAGGAUAGCUUUUUUGGGGAUGUGAUUUGGGCCUGAGAAGUGAAAGAUGAAUAGUGUUAACUGGUUGAAUAGGGAGAGAAGUUGAGUAAAAUUAUUCCAGGCUGAGAAUAACCAGUGUGAAAGCCAGGAUGAAAGUGUCUUGAGGACAAGGAUAGGCCAGAAGAGCAAGGUGAGGAUGAAGCAGGAGAAAUGAUAGGGGCCAAGGUUUGCAGGGCCUUGGGAAGCCUUUGAAGGGUGGUUUUAUGCAAGGAAGUGACAUCAGAUUUUCAUCUUAAAAAGAUCCCACCGUGUGCAUUCUGCAGAAUGUAUUGGAAUGGGGUAGAGGAGAUGUGGGGAUCACAGUCAGAAGAUGUUAAAAGUAAAAGAUGAUGGUAAGUUGGAGUAAGGUGAGAGAUGUGGAUAGAUCAAAAUACAUUUAGGAGGUAAAAUAGACAUGAGUUAGUGUUUUAUUGGAUAUGAAGAAUGAGGGGAAAGAAAAAUGUCACCAAGGACUUCCAAAGUAUCCACAACCAAGCAACCAGCCAUUGCUGUCGAGUCGAUUGUGACACCUAGUAACCCUAAAGGACUGAGUAGAGCUGCCCCAUAGGGUUUCCGAGGGGCAGCUGAUGGAUCCAAUUGCCGGCCUUUUGUUUAGCAACUGAGCUCUUAACCACUGUGCCACCAGAGCUCCUCCAAAAUGUCAGCUAGAAAACAAAUAGACUUUAAUUAAGUCAAGCAAGUAAAGAACAUAUUCUAAGAAGCUGAGGAUAUGCUAGAGCUUACUGAUGAUAGGGGGGCUCUCAAAGCGUAGUCACUGGACCAGCAGCAUCAGCAUCACCUGGGCGCUUGUUAGAAAUGCAGGUUUUCAGGCCCUACCCUGGACUGGCUGAACCAGAAACGCUGAACAUAAGGUCUCUUAUCCUGUAGCUUUUGGAGCCCUGGUGGCGCAAUGGUUAAGCGCUAUGACUGCUAACCAAAAGGUCAGCGGUUUGAAUCCACCAGCCACUCCUGGGAAACCCUAUGGGGUGGUUCUACUCUGUCCUGUAGGGUCAUUAUGAGUCGGAAUUGACUCAACAGCCGUAGGCUUGGGGUUUGUUUGUUUUAAUCUGUAGUUUAACAAGCCCUUCCGGUGAUUCUGAUGUGCACACUGAAGUUGGAGAAGCACUCUUCAUAGAGGCAUGGUGGAAAAGUUUAGGAAGAGGGAUGAAUGAGUGUUCGAAUCAAAGCCAGGAAUUGAUUAGUUUUAUGGGAUGACAGUGCUUUUGAGCAAGGCUCAGCAAACUAUAGUCCCUGCCCUCCCCCUCCCGCCCCAGUUUUUGUACAGGUCACAAGCUAAGAAUAGUUUUUACAAUUUUUAAAUGGUUGAAAAAAAAUCAGAAGAUGUUUAGUGACAAGUGAAAAUUAUAUGAAAUCGAAAUUUCAUCGUCCGCAAUUAUUAGAACACAGCCUUGUGUUUUCAAUUACGUACUGUCUAUAGCUGCUUUUGCCCAAAAGACUUGAGUAGUUAGUUGCAACAGAGGCCAUGCAAUGGUUGAUAUGCUUACUAUCUGGAUCUUUACAGAAAAAAACUUGCAGACCGCUGCUGUCUCAGUUACCUAGUGCUGCUUUAAAAGAAAUACAAGUGAAUGGUUUCAACAAGUAGGAGUUUAUUCUCUCACAGUCUAGUAGGCUAAAAGUCUGAAUUUAGGGCACUAGCUCCAGGGGGAGACUUUCUUUCUCUGUUGGCUCUGGAGGAAGGUCCUUGUCAUCAGCCUUCCCCCAGUCAAGGAGCGUCUCAGCACAGGGGCCCUGGGUCCAAAGGACGCGCUAUGCUCCCGGUGCUUUUUUGGUGGUAUGAGGCCGGCCCCCUGUCUCUCUGUUUGCUUCUCUCUUUUAUAUCUCAAAAGAGAUUGACUCAAGAUACAAUCUAAUCUUGUGGAUUGAGCCCCGCCUCACUAACAUAACUGGGAAAAUUACAUCAGAUGACAAAAUGAUAGACAGUCACACCAUACUGCAAGUCAUGGCCCAGCCAAGCCAACACACAUUUUUGGGGACACAAUUCAAUCCGUAACAUCCUCCUUAGACCGUUAAAAUGCCCUUUAGAGAAUGAAGAACACCAAAGACACAAGGUAAUUUUGAGCCUAGGAGACAGAAAGAGCCAUAUAAAUCAGAGACUACAUUAGCCUGAGACCAGAAGAGCUAGAUGGUGCCCAGCUACAACCGAAGACUGCCCUGACAGGGAACACAUUAGAGAAUCCCUGAUGGAGCAGGAGAGCGGUGGGAUGCAGACCUCAAAUUCUCAUAAAAAGACCAGACUUAAUGGUCUGACUAAGACGAGAAGGACCCCAGAGGUCAUGGUCCCAAGACCUUCUGUUAGCCCAAGACUGGAACUAUUCCCAAAGCCAACUCUUCAGACAGGGAUUGGACUGGACUAUAAGACAGAAAACGAUACUGGUGAGGAGUGAGCUUCUUGGCUCAAACAGACACAUAAGGCUGUAUGGGCAGCCCCUGUAUAGUGAGGAGAUGAGAAGGCAGAGGGGAACAGAAGCUGGCUGAGUGGAUAUGGGGAAUACAGGGUGGAGAGGAGUGUGCUGUCUCACUAGGGGGAGAGCAACUAGGAGUACAUAGCAAGGUGUAUAUAAAUUUUUGUAUGAUAGACUGACUUGAUUUGUAAACUUUCCCUUAAAGCGCGCGCACGCACGUGCACGCACACACGAAUGUCCUUUAUUUGGUGAUUGCUGAAAACAGAGAAGAGCUGCAUGGGGAGUUUCAUACUCUAGGUUUUGAGUUUAGACAGAGGUUAAUACUCUGUCUUCAGACAGAGUAGGGGAUCUGAGCCUAAUGGGCAGAGAGCUUGCUUGGUUUGAAAUGAGUGGAAACCACACAGCCCUUGGACUGUGCUGGAUGGGGGCCUGCAGUCCGGAGCCUACAGUUUUGGCUCCUUUAGCCUGAGGUAGCAGCUUUCCCAGUGCACUUUGUAAUCAUAUUUGGAGACAGAGUAAAGAGAUAGAAGAUACCAAUUUUUGAGGAAAUGAUUCAGUAUUGGUUAUUUUGUGCGGUAAUUUAUCUUGGAAUUCAGUGUAGUGUCUAAAGAUAUUCUAUGCUUUCACUUAAAUGUGUAAACCUUGGUCUUCUGAAGUCCUCAAGCAUAUUCAAGAGUAUACCUUUAUUGUUUACUUGUUUAAGAUCCAGUCCUAUUAUGGAAAAAACUGAACUUUGGGAAAAUUUUACUUUUAGUAAUGGUGCAUAAGCUUGUUGUAUCCUAACCUUUCUGCCAAGAACAACCAGAAAAGCUGGACAAAACAAAACAAAAACAAAUCUGUUUGAAGGUGUUGAAGAACUGAUAAAAGUGAGGGACUCCAGGGGCCAGGAUCUCAGAGAAGAAAAGGUAGCUCUCAACACGUCAUGUAAAUAACCAGCAGCCCCUCCUCCUGAGCAAGCCUCAGGUCUCCUACAAACUGUGGGAAUAAUCAAGCUACUGGAAGGAAAAGCUCUCUACUUACUAAGUAACAGAAGAAGCAGGUAAGGACUAUUUAAUUAAGUGAGCAAACCUGCUUCUUCUGGUGACAUGGCGACUAAGCUGGGAAGCCUGUAAGACUUGGUCAGGAGGAGGGACUGCUGCUUACGUAGGCGAUGUGUUGAGAACUACCUUGAUCUCUCACAACUUUCUUCUCAAGGACAAGCCAAACGGUAGAAAUCAGGGUUCACGCAGCAGCCAAGUGAGGCUGUUCCCUAAGGCCAGCCAUGUCUCUCUUGAGGCAGCGCGCGCCUCAGCACUUGAAAGUCACCUUGGGGUGAAGAGAGAGAAACAAUCGGUGUGAAUUGUGUUUCAUCCUUUUUGUUCCAGCAUGAUGAAAAGUGCUUAAUUUGUUUGAAACAUGUACAGGGUAGAACUGCUCCAUGGGGUUUUCUUGGCUGUGACUUUUAUGGAAGCAGAUUGCUGGUCCUGUCUUUCACAGGGCUUCUGGGUGGGUUCAAACCAUCAGCCUUUAGGUAAGUAGACGAGUGGAAACCAUCUGUCCCACCCAGGGACCUGGGUAGGUUACAGGACAUUAAAAUAUGCUGUCUGUACAUUCAUCGAGCUAUUCCAGAAGCAUUGUACAAUAGCAGUCAACUAUGUAUUUGAGUGAAUGAGAGUAAAAUUAGUUUCUCUGACUGGUAGACUUCUGGGCUUUGUCAUUCUUUUGGUUCAUUUAAUCCUUACCCUAAUUCUCUCCCUGAUCUGUAUUUUGGAAGACAUCCCUCUUUUUUUUUUUUUUAAUUUUCUAAGAAUCAACCCAGAAUCUUCUGUAACUUCUAAUGCCAAGAAGGGUGAAGUGUAAAUUUCCCUUUGUGUUGACUUCAUUGUCUGGUGACCUACAAAACUAGAAGAGAGAAUCUGGGUGUUAGAGCUCUCUGUUCUGUCCGUCCACAUGACUAGAAGCAUAGGGAGAUGACAGCAGAAGUGUGUGAGCAUCGUUUCAGAGCGAAGAGGAAGGCUUCCAGAGUAAAACUCACGUGGGUGUUGCCAAUUUGAUGAUAGCUUCACUAAGUAUACAAGCGAAAAUAAUGACACUGGUUUUCGUGUGAAUCAGUUACCUAUUUACUCCCAUAUUCAUUAUCCAAAUUUUAUUGGUAAAUUUGGAAGAUUUUCUUAAAUCGUUACUUUAGAUACAGUGUUAAAACCGAUCAUCACUUCUGUAUUUUGAAGAAUAGUUCUCUUUGAUUACUGAGCUUUUCUUUGUCUUUAUUCAUUUCAUAAUUUGGUAUAAUGGCUAUGAUUAUAGUUUUUUCUAGUAUAUGCAAAACUUAAUUUUUGCCUACGAAUUUAUAAACAUUUCCAGAAGACAGAAUAUCUUAAGAUUUGGUUGGAAACUUGGAAUUUGGGCCAGGAUCCAAUUUCUCACCUUCAUGUUUUCAGGCAUGUAUAAAAACUAUAAUCCCAGAUAGGCUUUAUUAAGUAAGCCCCCUGAGGUCCCAUGGCACAGUAACAGCAGGAUUUAGUGGAAAGAGUACGGUCUUGGGAAUCCAAGUACAUCAGUAGACCUGAGUUAGAUUCCUAGAUCUGCCAUUCUCUAUCUCUGUGAGGUCAGACAAGUGACAUAACCCCUCUGUGAGGUGAGGGGGGUGUGGGAAGGAGAGUUAAUGCUUCAGGGGCACUAAGGUUCUGUUAAGGGUGAUGAAAACAUUUGGAAAGGGUUAGUGGUAAUGGUUGUAUAAUAUGAUGAGUGUAGUUAAUGUCAUUGAAUUAUACAGUAAAAAAACCUUAAAAUGGCAAAUGUUAUAUGUAUUUUACCACAGGAACACACACACACUAUAUAUAUCUGUUUUAUAUAUAUAUAAUUGCCUUCUAAGCUUAUAUUCAUUUUUGUUUUAUUUCUUCCAUUCAUCACUUUAGGUCCUUUACUUGAUAACAUAAUUACAUUAUCUUUAUUUGCAAACAGUAUAUACUUAGAAAAGAAUAGGACAUUGCAAAACAGCUUUCAUGGAAUGUCAGGCCUGUAAUCACAAGUAUUUCAGGGUACAUUUGCCAGGAGGAAAUGUACCAACAAUUUACUAAACCGUUCUGGAUAGAAUGGUGUUCAGAUUUACCAAAAAUUAGUGGGCAGUCCCCAUAAAUGAGUACUAGAUAAGAGGAUUGGUAUAGUUUAGAAAAUGUUUUAAGAACUUUAAUCCCCCCCGCCACAAAGAAAAGAACUGUAAUCCAGAAGCUGAUAUUUCAAAAGUAUGUUCGUAUUUUAGCCAAGUUUACUUUGGAAAUGAUUUGUAAACAACAUACAUGACCAGCUUUCAUUAGCCGCAGAAUAGAAAAAACCAUUUUACCUGACAUUUGUCACUAGUUAUAUAGCUGUGAUGCCUCAGGGUUGUAAUAUAUUAAGUAAAUAUUCUGUUAUAUGCUUUUAAAUGGGAGUACAUUAGCUGUAGCACAAAAGCUCAUUUUAAUUACAGCAAUUUAAAAAUGUCUGGGACCUGAUCCAGCACAAGACAGUGAGUGGUUGUGACACCCAUGUCACUCACUUAAGGUUCAGGAUGAGACUGUGGCCUUGACCCAAUGCCUGUGUGGGCGUUAAACUAGAGAUGUAGUUGAGCCCCACCCAGCUAGAGUAUAGCCACAUCACGCACCACAUCACACACAUCACACACACACAUCACACACCUUGACGUGCCUCAAGCCUGAUGGGCUAAAGGCUGCUUGGGGGACCAUACAUGGCAGGCUCGGGUGUAGAGCGGAAGCUGCUUUUAGAAAGUGAGUGGCAGGCCAAUUUGCCUGGAAGGUAUUGGAUCUUGCCAUUUAAAGGGUUUGUACUUCCUUACAAUCAAAUUAACAAGAAAAUUGUUUCAUAAAAUUAGGUGAAGAUAAAAAAGUUGAAUGAAAGGCAGAUGAAUUUGAUUUCUUGAACCAACGUAGUUCUUCUGCACAGUUAUCCCUUAACUUUGCAGUAUGUGAGCUGAGCAUUUAGAGCAAUGCCCGUAGGCUGGACUUUAUGGGUGCUGCCGAGGCUGUCAAAAACAGAUGAAAAUUUCACACCUUUACAACGUCUUCUGUUUCCCUCUUCUGGGAUCUAGUAAAAUGACUCUUGUGCCAUUAAUUACCAAGGCCUUAUUUUCCAAUUCAAGCUUACGGUUUGUUCAGUGGUUUGUAAAUUGUUGAUGUGAAAUGAUACAGUCCUCUACGGAACAGUUCUGUGUUGGCUGUGGAUACAGGUUUAGCUCUGCAUGGAGAAGCAUUGUACCUGUAUAACGGAGCUCUGUCAUCAGCAAGCGAAAACCUCAGCGUGAUUGUACGGAGUCAGUGCCAUAAUAGGGUAGUAGUAGCUUUCAGAUUAAACAGAGUACAAACAAAAAGCAUUUUCCACCUCCAGCCAACAGAAUCAACCAUGUCAGUAACCCAACAGUGGAUCAUUGCUGUGACUGUCAUUAUUGCUUCUCUCGUGUCUCUCUUUCUGCCUCCUCCCCACUGGUGCCCCAUUUUCUCUGCAACCAGGAGCAGGAACAGGAUGCAGAGUACUAAUGACUAAUCCAGAAACAGAAGCCCCUGCCCAAGUCUCUUAAUUCUGCUCCCUUUACAUUUCUUCCUAAAAGAGCAGUGUUGGAUUCUGCGCGCAUGCACACGCACACGCACACACACACACACACACACGCAAUAAUAACUUUCUUAUUUGUAAACUGAGUAGCAAUGAAAUGCUGCAUGUUGGAAUACCAUAUCAUGAGAAGCAUCCAUACCGUAUUGGUACUUAUUGAACGUUGGCCUUUUAUGUGACUGUGAUAAGAUUUGAUGCCAGUAUUUCGAACUGCCCUCUCCAUCCUUGCUCUGUAGCGUGACAUCUAUUCAUUAAAGAUAAAUACCCACAUCAGUGGAAUGUUUCUGCAGAAAGUAGUAAUUACCUUAGAUUUAUCACCCAUAGUCCACAGGCUCUUACCAUUCUUUAUCGGAUAACCCAGUUGUUCCUACAUUCAUAAAGAUUGAGCUAUGAGUUCAUUUUUCUUGUUAUUUGAUGAGUGGGAACUUGUUAUUUGAUAAAUAGAUCACUUGGGGACUAUUAGAAAUAUACCACUUGGAAUCAAACAGAUAAUCAUUGUUAAGACCUUCUACUAGUUUUCUUUCUUUUUUUAUUCUAUUUAAUGAGUUUGGUUAUAGCAGUCCCCAAGCACCUUCUUUUGCAUAGAUUCUUAUUGAAAUCAGCAUUCUUUUGCUGUUUAAAAAACACAUGAUUUGUAUACUUUGUGUUUGAGGUAAAUGCCAAUUCUAGCAUUCAAAUAUUUGCCAAGCCUAAUGUGUCUGUUUGUGCUUAAUACUUUUAUGGCAUCAGGCGGAGAAAAUUUGCCUGUAAGUUCCCGUCACCUUUCUACAUUGUCAAAAUCACAUUAUGCAGGUGUGGCUACAUUGAAUACAAGAAAAUUCUGAGAUGAGUAGCUCACCACAGUCCAUUUCCCACCACCGUGUUUUUACGUGAACAACACGUGCCUUCUACGUUUGUUUGCCAACCGUGCGCUUAUGAAAACACCUCACCGCGGAGGGUGCAGUUGGCAAACAGACGUAAAAGGCCUGUGUUAUUUGCCUGAAAACAUGUUACUCUAUUCACUCGAGCCACUUCUUUAGCAUUAUGAAGUCUGGUUUGUCACUUUGCUUCAGGUGUGAAGGUGUUUUUCUGAUGCUGAAAUAAAGUGUGAGACAAAACUGGCACUUAAUUGGCAGUUGAUGCUGCUAUAACCAAUGCAGUUUUGAAAAAUAUAUCACAGCAACAGUUUCUUACACAGUGUCUUAGGGUUUGCCUUCAUUUUAAGAUUUUAGAUGGGAAGUCACGUAGGAUAGUAUAAUGUGAUAGACAAGCCUCGGUUUGGAUUCCAAGUCUGUCUCUCACAGCUUUGUACACUUGAGCAGGGUAUAUAACCCUCUGAGCCUAUAUAGUCUUAAAAUGGAAAUGGUACAACCUACUUGUUGAGUUUUAAGAACGAAACGAAGUUAUGUAAAACACUUAACACGGGUCUGGUGCCUACUACCUUCAGUUCAGAAGUCCCAGGGCACGUUAGUGGCACAAAACAUCAGUCAAAAGUCAGGUCUUCUAACACACAAGUGUUUUUCAACCACACCACAUUGUCCAUUUUUACUGGUUAACAAGUCUGGGUACUGGCAAACGGCUGUAGAGAGCUAUGAUUUUUUUUUUUCAUGGGAUUUUUCCCUAUUAGAUUCUGUUAGAGACUUUCCUCAAGAAUUCUAAAAGGUCUAUAAGGUGAUAAGAGGACAGGGAGAGUUGAGGGGUGUCCAGGCUGUUGACUGGGGUGACUGUUGAUAAUGGGGCCAUCCAUUGAAAUGCAAGAGGAAGAAAAGCAAGUCUGACUGGACUUGGGUGAGUUCAUUGAUUAGUGCCUUUACCUUUCUGUUUAAACCUUUAUGUAGGGACUUUUGUGGCCCAUGGUAUUCAUUUUAGGGCGUUUUAAAAUGUGCAUAAUUCUCUUUUUUGGAGAUACCGUUUUAUCCCCAAUGCAAGUCUAAAUCAAAUUCCUUGUCAGUGUUGUCUCUGAUGCCAUGAGUUGGUCACCCAAAAGCAAUGACUUUUCUAUUGCGUUUUCCAUAAUUAGGGCCGAGUUAAAAUCUAAGUCUUUAAAAAAAUGACACUUUUCUCUAUAAAACUCUUCCCAUUAAGAAUCUAAAUGUUGUUUAAAAAAAAAAAGACUCUAACCUGAGUAUAAAACUGGGUCGCUUAAAAGUCCUUGUGGGUUUAAGUUGACUACCUGGAAGGCGGAACCAAAAAGAGGAGACAGUGUUAGUCUUUCCCAUAGUCAACCAGUUCUCAAAGAUUUACUAAUGGGUUUUUCAUUUCUCUUUCUCUUGCUGCCUUUUUUGAUUACCUUCUUCUUUGGCGAAAUGGUGCAGCAUACUGGAAUGGGCAGGUCAAAACGACCUAGGUUCAGAUCCAGUAUCUGUCACAUACUACUUCUGUGGCUGAAGGCUGAUUUAUUUAACUCUCUGAGCCAUCCUCCAUUUUUCCGUCUGUAAAAUGGAGAGAAUAAUACCUACUUGGGACAGUUCUGGAGGACUGGUGGUGCAGUGGUUAAGAGCUACAGCUGCUGACAAAUGAUCAGCAAUUCAAAUCCACCAGCCACUCCUUGGAAACCCUAUGGGGCAGUUCUACUCUGUCCUAUAGGGUUGUUAUGAGUUGGAAUUGACUCGACGACAAUGGGUUUUGGUGUUUAUGAGGUUAUUGAAGAAGUGAGAAAGGAGAUUUAAAGAACCUAUUCAUUUAAUACAUGUAGGAGUUCUUUUUUUUAUUACUGUUGCUGCUAUUAUUAAUAAUAAUAAUUUUGGAACCUUGGUGGCGCAGUGGUUAAGAGCUCAGCUGCUAACCGAAGGUGGGCAGUUCUACUCCGUCCUAUAGGGUUGCUAUGAGUCGGAAUCAACUCGACAGCAGCAGCUUUGGUUUUUAUGCAUCAAGUUCACCAUAAUAAAGCUCAAAUAAGUUCGUGGUUUAUGGAUUGCUAGGGUAAAAGUUUUGGUUCAACGGGAGAUUGGAACUAAUCCUUAAAAUGAGAUUUCUAAAAGAUUAUCCAUGGGGUUCUCCCUGCUGACCCUGUGACCAGGGUAAUUGAGUUGGCUGUAAGGAAGAUGGAAUGAGGAAACAGUUCUCCUGCCAGCUUAAAGCAAAUGUGUGUGCCCGGAGGCAUGCGUGUCCAGCCUUGUUGGAGACAGUGCUUUAAAAUUCAGCCGGCAGUACUCGAGACUUCCCUGAUGAUGAAUUGCCUGCUAAACUGUGCCACAGAGCAUUCCACUUAAUUCACUUAUCUCUCUUGGCAUAAUUUCUAUAAAGUCAGUGCUCUCAGGUAGGGAGGGGUGGGGUGGAGGUCAGCAGGGAAGCCCAUUCCAAAUCUUAAAGUGACCGUUGUUAGUGGUAUUUUUAAUUUAUGGGCUGUUUUCUCCCCAAAUUCCUCAACUGUUUCGUAGACAUUUUUUUUUUUUCCUUCAGCUUCACAUACUGUAAGAUAUUCCCCAAAGAAUGUCACCAAGACAGCAUGUUCUCAUUUUUUCUCUGGAGAGCCCUGACUUUCAGAAAGGCCUGAAAAAGAGGGCUUGACUAUUGAUGGAAGUGAGUAUCAAGCUUCAUGCCCUUCCUUUCUUCCUCCCUUCCUCCGGGAGCCUCAUCCAAAACUAACCUGUUACAUUUUUUUUUCUGUAUUUCUUUUGGAAAGAAUUGAAAGACUCAGGUGAGAGCUGAGGGAGCCUGUAUAAUGGCAACAGCCCUAGGGUCAGCAGCUACCUGCCAGUUUAGCCCUGGUUCUGACCUUCCUCCCUUCUAUCUCAGUGGCCACAUAUAAAAUGAUGUCUUGGCAUCAUCUUGAUGUCUUAUUUAAUUGAAGGGUUGUUUUUGAAAAAUUUUAAGCUUUAAUUGUGACAAGCCUAAUCCUACACAUAUGCAGAGAAUUAAACCCCCAUAUGCCCAUCUCUUAGCAUCCACAGCGAUCAGUGUUUGCCAUAUUAUCUCACCUGUUCCCUCUGCAUCCAUCCCCCUGCCUCAUGCUGUUUUGGUGGCGUGUUUUAGAGGAAACCCCAGUUGUCAUGCCAUUUCAUUUCUACACUUUACUGUACAUCGCACAUAAAACCUCUCGUAUUUCAAAUCUUUCACUUCUGCCUCCCUUUACUCCUCUUAGAAGUAAUUACCAGCAGCACAGAAAUCAUUUUUAUUAAAUCUGUUUUGUAAAGAUUUCUGAUUCUGUACUCCUCCUACUUUAGUCAUUCUUCUUUUGAGUUUUAUGGAAUCCCUGGUGCAUACGAGAGCCUUCUGAAAUUAAAUGCAGGUAUUUGUGUGUGCCUUUGGAACUUUCUGGUAGGGGCAUGAAGUGACAUUGUUUUGAACGUCUGGCAGGAGCCCCUGGCCCAGAGACUUGGAGGCUGGAUAAGGAGCAUGUAGGGCUCCUGACUGCAGCCCUGCAUUAAUAUUAUAUGUAGAAGAUAGUGUACAGGUGAUAAAGAACCAAUAAAAGUACAGCAAGACAUCAAAUGAUAGUCUCUUUGUAGUGUCAGAUGGAGCUAGUUCUGCCUACAAUCCUGUAUUUAGUAAAAUAAGACCAUUUAAAAAAUACACUAUAAAUAAAUGCUUUAUACACAUUUUUGGAAAAGAUUAUUUAAGCUCAUUUAUUUAGAGCUGUUAGGUGCCUUCGAGUUGGUUACGACUGAGAGCAACUCAGCGUACAAUAGAACGAAACACUGCAGGGUCCUGCGCCAUCCUGACAGUCGUUGCCAUGCUCGAGCUCAUUGUUACAGCUACUGUGUCAAUCCAUCUGGUCGAGGGUCUUCCUCUUUUUCGCUGAUCCUGUACUUCACCAAGCAUAAUGUCCUCCAGGGACUGGUCCCUCCUGAUCACAUGUCAGAAAGAAUGUGAGAUGAAGUCUCACCAUCCUCGCUUCCAAGGAGCAUUCUGGCUGUAUUACUUCCAAGACAGAUUUGUUCAGAUUUAUUUAGAGCUAGAUAUGGUUUGUGUGUGGCCUCAGGAUCAAGUUAUCAGUCUCUUCUAGUGUUUGUAAAGAAAUAAUGCUUUUCUCCUUUUUUUGUGCUGAUGAAAAUAUUUUCAAAACAAAGUCAUUUAGUGUUGAUUUGGACUGGGUACUUUAGUUGUUAGGGAGCCCCGGGUGGUGCCAACGGUCAAGCACCUGAGUACUGGCCAAAAGAUUGGAGGUUUGAACCCACUCAGAGGUGCCUAGGAAGACAGGCCUGGUGAUCUGCUCCUGAAAGAUCACAGCCCUGAAAACCCUAUGGAGCAGCUCUGCUGUGCACACAUGAGGUCUCCAUGAGUCGGAAUCGACUCCAUGACAACUAACAACAAUAACUUCAGUUGUUCAGAAAAAAAAAAGAAUUAUCUGAAAAGCCAUUAAACCAGGGUCACACUGGACGUCCAAAUCUGUAAAUUAGUGUACACGCGGCCACUGCGUUCCUGCAGCACAUUUCCCAGUGGAGAGUUCGAUAUAAUUUAAAGCUUGCUAAGUGUGUUAACCCAUGGUAAGGCUUUAGGUCUGCUGAAGUAUAUGACUCUCUGAUGGCCAGCUCUUACAGCUCAUAAAUCUUUGUGUUAAGUUGUACAGGAUCUGACUUAGAAAUGAGUUUUUGCUCAUUUUACACCAUACUUGGAAAUCGGGAGCAGAGUUUUGACAGUUGUGAAAGCUGCUCAGAGGAGCAGCACCCACCAUGGACUGUAAGUACAAAAGAGUCAAAAUUAACACAGUAACUACUGGAGCUCUGUAGUUUCAUUUUCUUUUCCUUUAGAAGGGCACUUGUUAAUAGGUUUUGUUCUUUUGCUUUACCAGAAAGUAAUACCAACCACGAGCAAAUGCGUGGGCCCUUGAUGACAUUCCCUCAAAGGUUAUAAACAAUGCUGUCAGAAGUCAGCAUUGAUUUUUGUGUAACUCGAAGAGUGGAUCCUUGGAUUUGGCGAAAUGCUUCUUUUCUAUUUUCAUGGUAAACUGUUACUAGAUCUGAGCAGCCACAGCACCCAAAGAAGAUUAAUAGCUAUUAUACAGUGAUGAGUGUGGUUCAUCACACUUCAUGAUUAAAGAGGAUGAUACUGAUGGUGUCAUUUAUUGGGCUUCAUUUUUGACCGUUGGCUUGACUUGCUCAGGAGUAACAGAAAGCAGAUUGUUUAUAUCAUCUGAAAUGGUUUCUUCUGUGCGCCUGUAGCACAUUUCGCCAUUUAACACAGCAUCGCUAAGGUAGGAAAAACAGCAGAGAGGAGAGAGUUACACAGUUGGCUGUUAGAAAACAGGUAUUGAAUGACAGAGUGAGGAAUUUUUUUUAAUAUAUAAUACUGAACCAGAAAUCAAUGUGGUUUACAGGUGAACAUGAACACAAUCAAGUAGUAGGAUGUAGGUAGAACAUAAGAACCCUAGGGUAGAAUUUUCUAGAAGUAGCCUUAUAGCUGCUCCCUGAUUAACAUGCUCUUACUUGGUUGGAAGAUAAAAAGACAACAUAUGGUUUAUCCUAAAUAACUGUCUAAGGCGACUGAGAAAAUGAUGCGGUGUUCAUUUCUGUUUUCUGCUCUUACUGCUCUGUGUUCCUCCUUGAGAGGCUGUAUUAGUUUCUUAGAGCUGCCAUAACAAAGUACCACAAACUGGAUGGCUUAAAACAACAUAAGUUUAUCUACGUACAGUUGUGGAGGCUAGAAUUCGGAAAGCAGGGUGUUGACAGGGCCAUGUUCCCUCUGAAGUUUCCAGGGAAGAAGCUUUCUUUGCCUCUUCUAGCUUCUGUUGGUUACUGCUAGUCCUUGGUGUUCCUCUGCUGGUAGCUGCAUCGUUGCAGUCUCUGCGUCAGUCGACACAUGGCCUUCUCCCAGUGCCUGUGUGUUCUGUGUCUCUGUCUCUAAAUCUUCCUCUCCUUUCUCUAUAAGGACACCAGUCGUUGGAUUUAGGAGCCCACACUAAUCCAGUAUGACUUCAUCUUAAUUAAAUCCAAAUAAGAUCACAUUCACAGGUUCUGGAGAUUAAGAUUUUAACAUAUCUAUCGGGGGAACACAGUCCAACCCACUGCACAGGACAUGUUCAAUGGUAAGCAGAAGGAGGUGUUUCCAUUGUAAAUUCGGGGCUAUGGUUUUAUUUCUUUUUAGUUUUAGGAUAAAAUUGUUAGUUGCCAAGUUUAAAAGUAGGUUCUCAACUCUCCUAAAGCAUAAUAUCAACAGCAACAAAACACCCAAACUUCGUUGCUAUUGAAUCAAUUCCGACACGUAGUGACCCUAUAGGACAGAGUAGAACUGCCCCAUAGGGUUUCUAAAGAAUGGCUGGUGGAUUUGAACUGCCUACCUUUUGGUUAGCAGCCGAGCUCUUAACCACUGAGCCACCAGGGCUCCAGAGCAUGAUGGGAACUUGUAUUAAGUGAGGGGGUGAUUCUACUUUGUGUAGAAUGUUCUGUUUGGCUAAAUUUGUGUGUGUGUUUCUAUAACAUUUAAAGUUUGAACCUUUAGGAUAUGAUUCCUUGAUUUUUCCUUGCUCAUGGCCUUCACAUAGAUUUCCAGGACCAGGAAUACACAUCAAGAAAGUAAAGAUAGGGCAAGACAGCACUAGCUGCCAGCCCUGUUUUUUAGCGUACUCAGAAAGUAAUGACACAUGUGUGUUAAGAAUGUUCUAAGAAACCUUACAGUUUAUUAUGAGGAUUAGAGUUAAAUAUUAAUGUUAAUUAUGAAGCUUUUCUUUAAGCUUUUCUAUUCUACUGAAUAAUCUUACCCAUGCAAUAACCCUGUGAGGAAAGUUAGCAUAUGUAUUAUCUCCACUUAAAAUCCCAAACCAAACCCACUACCAUCAAGUCGAUUCCGACUCAUAGCGACCCAAUAGGACAGAGUAGAACUGCCCCAUAGAGUUUCCAAGGAACACCUGGUGGAUUCAAACUGCUGACCUUUUGGUUAGCAGCUGUAGUGCUUAACCACCACGCCACCAGGGUUUCCCAUCUCUGCUUAGAAGAUGGAAAUACUGCACUAUAUGUAAAGAGAUAUUACGUAUCCUGUCUAGUGUACUACAUGGAGAUAUUAUAGAUGACAUAAAAGCAGCAAACCUCAAAUAACUCCUACUCUCAAAGCAUUUAUAAUCUAGAGGGGGAUGCAGACAGGUAACAGGCAAUUCUGUGUGAUGUAAUGUUAAUGAUAGCAAUACCUGGUGGGGUGCCGUGGUCCCAAACAGGGUGCUUUGGCAAAAAAUGAAUGAGAAUUCUUGAGGAAAAACACUUAGAGAAGCAUCUAAGACCAUUCCCCCCGCCCCUUUUUUCCCCCUUAUCUCCUCACCGUUUCCCUCCCUUCCCGUGGGACUAGGGUACAGUUAGAGAAUUUUUAAAAGUUCAGUGAACACAUUGAAAAACAAGAGUUAAUCACUCUCAAGUACAGUAUUGUUGCUGGAAGCUCAAGUGCAGAUGUCCCACAUCAAGAGCAAAGACACAAGGAUAAGGCAAGACAGCGUCUGUUCUUGGGGGAUUCAGAGAGGAGCCCUCUUUGUCCCUAAACUGUGCAUGGCUGUCACAGUCAACAAGGUCCAGAAGCAGUUUGGCUUAUGAGGAAGGGUCACCUGAGCCUAUGAAGGAGGGACACCUGAGCCUAUGAGGGAGGGUCACCUGGGUUUGGGCAAAUUGAGCCCUGAAGGGAGGUCAGGGUCCUCUGCUCUGGAUGCCCCGAAAUCUGCUGGUCUUUGUUCCAGGCUUCUAGCCUUGGGGAGAGGCAAGCCUCCUCUACUGAUAGUCCUUUGGCUCUUGCCUUUUGAGGAGGAAAAUGAAGCUCCGCACCUGAGUGCUUGGAGAUCUCGGGAGAAUGCCAGACAUCACCAGCAAUGUCUAUUUAUUGAGAGGAGUUGGGCAGAAAAGAGGUUUGAGGUCAGAUUUUUAUUUGCUAAAUUAAACAUCUUAAUUUUUCAAUAUUACACCUUAGAAGUACUCCAGGAGUUUCUUCCAUAAUGAUGUUUCAAAAGCAGAAUAAAAAUGCCCUCACUCUUUCCUUGAUAGCUAUAUUGAUAACCUUAGGCGGGUUACUUAAAUCUUCUGUGGAUCAUUUCCUUCAACUGUAAGAUUGGGACUGAGACCGUGAAAAUUCCGUGUUUAAUGCAGUGAUAGCUACCUUUUAAUGGUUCAGUGGAUGUUAACUAUUGUUAUAAUUAUGCAUAAUUUCGCUUUGAUCAUUGCCUAAAAAUCUUUGAAGUAUCUUCGUUAACAGUGCAGAUUCUGACGAAAAUUAAUACAGAUAGUCCCCAAUUCACAACCUAUUCGAGUUAUGAUGAACCGCACUCACAACUGCCCUUUUUUGGGGGGGACAUUUUGUCGUUAGUAAAAUGCACUACGUACAAUAACGCAGCGUGUAAUUUGCUGAUGUUUAUCAUUCUCAGAUGUUAACUCACAAUGUUAUGAUUUACUGUUCAGAACGCUGCUCUGCUGUAUAGGUUGAGUUUUCUAAACUAGAUUAGGGGCUCCCGUUGCUCGAAAACACGGACCCAAACGCUGAUUGCUUUGCUGAUGUCAAUACGCAUAUCUGGGAAGCAAUGAGAUGUUACCACUAAAUAUAUGAAGGGAAAAAGAAACUAAUUUUCUGGCUAGAAAUGCCAUCUCCGUCCUCAGGGGAGUUAUUACUGAAACUGACAAAGUAUCAGCGGCAUCCAGCUCUUCUUCAUUGUUGGAGUAAACUUUACGAUUUGUGUAUUUUUUUUUAUGGAUGUGUGUAUGUAUUAAAAUAUAUCUGUAAGUUUAUAUGUAAUGUUUCCACCCCCCAAAGACAAAUAAAGAUCAAAUUUAUAAAGAUACUGAUAAUAAAAGGUAAAAAUAAUGAAAACUAAAAAAAAGAAUGAGGUAUUUGACCUACAUCAGAACCGACUUACAAGAGUCAUUGGAAUGGAACCCCGUCAUAAAUUGGGGGACUACCUGUAAUUCUAAGUGGAGCAAAAGUGAAGUCACAUUUGCUAAUCCACUGUGUGUGUGUGUGUGUGUGUGUGAAGAGAGAGGCUGCAACAAUGGGCUUAAGCAUAACAGUGAUUGUGAGCAUGGCGCGCAGGACCGGGCAGUGUUUGUUCAGUGGUACAUAGGGUUGCUAUGAGUCGGAACGGACUCAACCACACCUAACAACAACAGUUACAAAAUUAGCUGUUGUGAUGACUGAAAUUCUUAAGGCAAACAAUACAUUUAGGUGACUCCUUAAGGAGCCCUGGUGGUGCUACAGUUACGCGCUUGGCUGCUGACUGAAAGAUUGUGGUUUGAACCCACCCAGCAGCUCCUUGGGAUAAAGACCUGACUGACAAUCGGCUACUAUAAAGAUUACAGCCUAGGAAACUCUAUGGGGAAGUUUUCGUCUCUCUGAGUCAAAAAUCAACUCAACAGCACCUAAACAACAACAUGGACCCCAUAUAUAGCCAACUUGUGUUCAGUGAAGUGGCAAGCUCCCUAGAGAUGGUGCAGGAUAAAUUACCAAUUAUUAUAAUCACUUAUUUCAAGUAGAUAGGCUGUAACUAAAAUGUAUGUAAAUAUUGAUCUUACAACUAAGAUAAAUGCACGGUAGUUGUCUAUAAUGUCCGUUUUCACCCUCUUAAAAUUUACUUGAUGUGUAUUUAAAGAAAAAAUUAUUGUUCUUGUUAAAAAUCCUUUUGCCUUUUCAAGGUGCUUAUUUGUCCAGUAAAUCAUGUUAGGAGAAUAUGUUUACAGUUAGUAGAAGCUUUCAAAGACACAAUGCUUCUCAACUGAUGUUUCUUGCUACAACUUUGAAAAGCUAAAGCUAUUUAACUACUCUUUGUGAAGUUAAAGUUAGGCUGUUAGUAGGAUUCCUACUGAUUGAUAAAUAGUUAGAACAGUAAAUUCAGACAGGAAGAUUGGGAUGUCAGUUCCGCAAGAUGUUGGGAAAAUGCAGUGAAGCUCAGACUCAGGACUUGAAUUAAAUUUGGCCCCCUAGCUGUUAUUACCCUCGUUAACAGACCCAAUUUCAGAAACAACUUUUCUUUCCUCAUGCCUUUACUCUAGGACUCUGAUAACGUGAUGCCCUACUACAGCUCGUGGUGUGUGGUCUCGGGACCCCAGCAUCAGUGUCGCCUGGGGACUCGUUAGAAAUCCAAAUUCUCCGGCUGCACCCCUGACUUGCGGAAAGUCUGGGCCUGUGUUGGAACAAGCUUUCCAGUGACUCUGCUGUAGCUCGGGUUUGAGCAUUGCUGCUUUUUAUUGGCUCUUAGCCAAUUUGCUGGAAAUUCAAAUCAGGAAAAGUGGACAAAUUAGAGGAAUUACUGUUUUAUAGAUGGGGAGCAAAGAUGCUUACUGAAGAGUUAAACUUCAGCACAUUUUGUGGUGAACCCCUAGUUAGGUAGAAAAUUCCCCUCGGCUCCAUAGCAGAAACGAACUGUCAAACCAUUAAUAUGAAAUGUGUACAUGUUUGAUUUCUACGAUCAUAUGAUUAAUAUCCCUUUGGCCUUAUCUUUUCCUGACGAUAUUUUAGUGAUAAACCUUCAGGGUAGAGACUGAAAGUGUUAAAUUUCAAAUUCCAACUCUCGUCGUUGAGAUCAGUUGAGAUUAAUAUCUUUUUUGGCACUCCCCCCCACCCCCCAAUAAAAACCUCAGCCGGUCUGCACUACUUUCAGUUCCCUGAACUCUGAAUGCUCCUUCUUCACCUGUUGGGAGAUUCUGUUCCCUCUGCCUGGAAAUACCCCUUCCCCACACUCUUCCCCUUGGCCCGCUCAUUCUUUAGAUUUUAGCUUAGACAUCACUUUCUUGAGGUAAAUGUUCCCACAGAUGCCUCCUCUUCCUCUUUGGUAACAUGACACGAAAGUAAUUGCCUGUAUAUUGCCCUACAGCCCCUAAUACCCUGUAAGCUCUACAGGGCAGUGGUUGCAGCCGCAGAGAAAUGGCCACUACCCUGUAGAGCUUACAGUGUAUUAGGGACAUUUGUGUUUUAAACCUGAAAUAUUUUUAAUUAAUCAAAACAAAUAAUAACAAAGCCAGAAAACCCAAAUACCUUAUCUGGCCAAUCAUAUCGGCAAAAAUUAAAAAGAUAAAACCCAACUUGUCAAGGAUUUAGGGAUACAGGCAUUGUCAUACAUUGUUGGUGAAAUUGGAAAUGGCUGGCAAUUGGGCAGUAUGUCCCCUGUGACUCUGAAAUUUUGAAGUAAACAAUUGCACAAGUGCCGUAAGACAUUUGUCCAUGGCUAGUCGUGAAACAUUUUGUGUCGUAGUUGCCAAAAUUGCCAGCAGUGAGGCGCACUAUGGCAUAUCCGUUCAACAAAAUGGAGCCCUGGUGGCACAGUGGGUAAGAGCUAUGGCUGCUUAUCAAAAGGCUGGUAGUUUGAAUCUACCAGCCACUCCUUGGAAACCCUGUGGGGCAGUUCUUCUCUGUCCUGUAGGGUCACUGUGAGUCAGAAUUGACUCGAUGGCGAUGCGUGUUCAACAGAAGUCAUUACGAUGUUUAUAUGUGUGUGUCUGUAUAUAUAAAACCAUGGACGGAUUUGCAUAAUACGUAAAGUGGAGAAGUGGGGGGGGGGACCAUUACAUAUGUCUCUUUAAAGGCGCUUUGGUGGCGCUAGCCUGAUAACUGAAAGGUCUACAGGUGGAACCCAAGAGUACUUCAAGGGAGAAAAAACCUGGCGAUCUGCUCCCAUAAAGAUUACAGCCUAGGAAACCUUAUGGGGCUGUGCUGCUCCAUCAUAUAGGGUCACUAUGAGUCAGAAUCGAAUAGAUGGCACACAACAACAAUGUUCCUUAUGUAAAGAAAAAAUUCCAGAAGGAAACGUACCAAAAUAACAAUAGAAGUUAUUUCUGGGCAACUUUCCCUUUUCUUAUCUGUGUUUUCUGAAGUUUCCAUAUGGGCAUGUAUUUUUAUUAUUAUUAUUAUUUUUUUUUUCUAAGAAAAGGAAGCCAUAUCAAAAUAGCACUAAGUUCUGUCAUAAUCCAUUGUUGUUAUAGUUGUUAGCUGCGGUUUUCCAGUCGGUCCCUGACUCAUGGCCACCCACACACAGUGGAAUGAAGUGCUGCCUGGUCCUGUACCACCCCCGUGAUUAGUUGUGGACUGGACCAUUGUGUCCUAUAGAAUCUUUAUGGACUGAUUUUCAGGUCACCAGACCUUUUUUCCUAGCCCAACUUUGAUGCUUUACUGAAACCUAUUCUGCAUUAUAGCACCACGCAAACCCCCAUUGACACAUGGCUGGCGACUGCAGAUUAGGUCCAUUGGCCAGGAAUCAAACACGUGUCUCCCUUACAGGAGCGAAGCGAGAACUCCACCACUGAACCAACAGUGCCUCUUCCUAAUGCAGAAGACCAAAAGCGUGCCCGUGGAAUUGAUUUCAGUUCGUAGUGACCUGACAGGACAGAGUAGAACUGCCCCAGGGGGUUUCCAAGUAUCGGCUGGUGGAUUCGAACUGCUGACCUUUCCGUUAGCAGCCUUAGAUCUUAACCACUGUACCACCAGGGCUCCACCCAUAACCCAGUAGGCAAGGAGAAUUGGAUUUAAGAAGGAGAUUUUUCAAAGGAAAUUUAUUUUAGCGAUACAUACAGAGGAACAUUUUGGGGCUACCUGGUUAAGCCAUCUGCUAAUUUAAACUUUAGAGUGUUGCCGUAUGACCCUAAACUUUGCAGAGACGUAAAGAAUUUGCUCAAGCCAAGGCUACCCUUAUGAAUGCAUGACAUAGGAAACUAUCAGCAGACGUGAGGGAGCCUUGGAAGUCUCCCUGCCUCCACAUCCAUCUCGCCUCCUCAGCACUCAUGCUACAGGGCUUGAGAUGGCACAGUUAGAACUAUAUCUUGAAGCUAAGCAUUUUCUUCCUGUGGUCCUUUGUGACGGGUUCGUGAAGGGCGAUGUGUCAAAUCACUACUUUGUGUGUGUGUGUGUGAAUUAGUUCAUCAGCUUAAUCUACUCCCCAGGGUGAGGGCUGCAAAGCAAAGAACAAAGCAUAUCAGAGAUUUGAGGGAACAGAAGUGCUGACAUCUGAGGCCAGUAUAUGGGGAGAGAUGAGGGAAGAAGGGGUGAAUACAAAACACUUUGCCUUUCUCUCCAUUUUGCUUUGUGCUGUGUUAGAUGGAAACGAUUUACCAAAUAAUUAGUUGAAAGGAACGUGUAAUUAUGAUAGCAGAUUUCCAAAUGAUGAGUAAAGGGAGUGUUGGGUAUAAAUUUCAUUGUUUUGUCUGUCUCCACCACUCGUCUAUCAGUGUGUUGUACUGCGGUUAUUUGUGUGUUGCUGUGAUAUUGAAAGCUAUGCCGCCAAACAGUAUUUCAGAUACCAGUAGGGUCACCCAUGGUGGACAGGUUUCAGUGGCGCUUCCAGACUAAGACAGACCAGGAAAAAAGGCCUGGUGAUCUGCGUCUGAAAAUUAGCUGAUUUAAACCUUAUGGAUCACAACAAAACAUUAUCCAGCUCACUUGCUUUGGACAUGUCAUUAGACAGGGUCAGUUACUGGAAGAUCACAUCAUGUUUGGUGAAUCAGAGGGCCAGCAAGGGCAAGGGAGACCCUCAGUGAGAUGGAUUGGCACAAUAACCACAACAAUGGACUCAAACAUGGCAGUGAUGGUGAGGAUGAUGUAGGACCAGGCAGCAUUUCAUUCUGUUGUACGUAAGGUCACCAUGAGUUUGAGUCAGCUUGAUGGCAUCUAUCUAUCUAUCAUCUGUUGUCAACUGAUUUAGGUAAAUUUAAGCAGAUUUGGAAGCCAAAUAUCUCUCUGCAAUGACAUUUAUCACAUUCUCCUCCAGCGUCUCAAAUCUUUCCGUCUCUUCUAGCUUUUAAUACAUCUUGGGGGAAAAAAAAAAAAAACAUUUGUGUGAUCCUGGUGACCUCUCUGGUCACCCAUCAGACUUAGAGUAACCUUUUCAAAGCUCUCAUUCUCCUUGAUCUUUCUGUGCAUUUUGCACUGUGGGGGAUUAGCUCUUUCUUAAAACUAUUUCCUUCCUGGGCUUCUAUGGUUCAGUUCUUUCUUUGUGUUCUUCCUUACCCGUCCACUUCCUCUUUGACUUCCAACUUGGUUAGUCUUCAGUUCCCUAAACGUGCGUUCACCAAAGGUCAGUUAUUGGCCUUUUGCUCUUCUUUUCAUACAUUCUUCCCUUUAAUGGUCUAGUUUUCUAUAAGGACUUAAACAGUUAUCUCUCAACUCUUGCUCAAGUCUUUAUCUUCAUUUUUGUGUCUCUCAGCCCUAAUGUCUCACUAGAACUUACUUCUUGGGAGUAUCUUCCUGAUGGAUUUGGCACGCUCAAAAUGGAAAUCCUCUUUCUCCUAGUUAUUGAGUCUCAGUAAAAUUGUUUUCACUUCACCAUCUGUUAUAUUCCUGCAUUAAGUCAGACACAAAAUCCUAUGAAUUCUUCACUCAGUUUAUACCCAGUCACCCCUUUCUCUCCAACCUCAUUUGCACUAGCCUCGUCCAGGCACCUAGCACCUCACAGCUUAGGUGACUUCUAAAAGCUGCUUGAGUGGUAUUGCCAACCAGUGGUUUUCAAAGCUUUGCACUGUCACCAUUCUAAAACACCUAUUUCAAAGUUUCAGUCAUUUGCAGUCUUACCUCUUUUAUAAAAUCAAAAAUUUCACCUACUUCUCACUUAUGCUUAGCAGUUAGUAUAUUUCCUGUUUUUUAGUGCUUAAUCCUACCCUACCUGUACGUAACCAUUUCAGGGACUUGCUGGUGUCCCCAUUAAAUCUCAAGCACCUGCCAAGUAGAAUCGAAUAACAUGUUGCUUUUUUUCCUUGCAGGUACUUGUGUGGAAUAGUUUAAGACCCAAAUGUUUUGUGUUUGUGUAUGUUUUCCACAAACGUCAGUUAGUGCUUCUCAAACUUUACAGCAGUCCAUAACUUUUCAGAGUGCUUGUUCGGUGUGUUGAUUGCCAAGCCCAAACCCCAGAGAAUCAAAUUAUUUAGUAUGAAGUCUGAAAACCACACACUGAGCAAUGCUGCUUUUCCCAGAGUCCGUUACUUCUCGCAGACACCUGUAGGUAGUACAACUAGGAAAUGCAUGUCAAAUGGCACUGUUAUUGUAUGUGGUUGUGUGUGUAUAUAGAAUUUUUUUUUACAGAUAUAUAAUCUGCAGCAGUGAUUUUCAAGCCAAGCUUCAGGGAAUGCCAGGAGUCCGUGGAUGCUUUCGGAAUUCCACAGUGAACUAUUUUCUGCCAAGCAGAGAUUUAAACUGUUAGGAGCUCAAUCAUGGCGUUUAUCUGUUUUACAUGUUAGGAUAGUAGGGAAGAUUCCUUUGAAUGAGGACUUCUGCUAUGAAGAAAAUUUUUAAAACAACAAAGUAAUACAAAAAAAGUAGUAAGUGCACAUUCUGUUAUUCCAAUUCCAUGAGAAGGUGAAACAAAUUUUGUUAAGUAAUGUCUCAUUUUAGUAAUGCACUUUUAAUUUAUAAAGGGUGCGCCUGUUUCAUGUUAUGAGACAAGUAUUAAACUUCUAACCUAACGAAUGAGAAGCUAUUUAGGACCCAAGUUUAUUCUAUUCCCUUGUUUUUUUUAAUAAAUAGACUGAAGCCUUUCCCAACUGUUUCAGUACUGGCUAUUUCCUUCCAUCCUCUUUUUUUGUCUUCUAGGGUUGCUGUGAGUUAGAAUCAACUUGACAGCAACAGGUUUGGUUUGGUUUUUUUAUGUCAUAUUUUAGUUCAGCAUAGUAUCUGACCUCUAUGAUUUGAAAAACAAACUCUGGCCAAAACUGUAUUACAAUAAAGUAAAAUCAUCCAUCCACCAAACCAAAAGCAACCCCGUUGCCAUUGAGUCGAUUCCAACUCAUAGCGACCCUAUAGGACGGAGUAGAACUGCCCCGUAGGGUUUCCAAGGAUUCAAACUGCCAACCUUUUGGUUAGCAGCCGUAGCACUUAACCACGGCACCACCAGGGUUUCCUCAUCCCCCUAAGAGAAACUGAUUUGUACUGAAAAUUCCUGUAUACAAUGUUAAAACACAUUUCAAAGAAAAGUUUGAUGAAACAAUACUGAUCUGUGCAUUAUAUGAGAAUACAUUGGUGACAAGUAAAGCAGAAAGACUCUUCUGUUACUGCAAAUUGAUCUGAGCCAGUUGGGUGACUUGGAUUUUUCCGGCUCUCUUGGUAACUGCCACAGUCUUGCUACAAGUGAAGUGAAGUCUCAGACCAAAUUCUGCCCCACCUGCAAACCUGUAUUAGCAAGCAGGCACCAAAGUAGCCAUAAAGCCCUGUUGCAUAAGCCAGUAAAUUCCCCGCUUUGUCCUUUCAGACAUACUCUGACAAGCACCAAAGCAGGAAAAUAACAUUUUGGUGAUAGGAUCAGCGAACUCAUCUGUCUCGUUAAGCAUCAGAAUCUUGUACUAAUUUGGGGAGUGGGUGUGGUGCUAGGACAAGACCUGAAGAUGUUCGUGACCUUGGAUGCAACUGAAAGAUGCUAGGCUUCUGGGCUUGCCAUGUAAUCCUACACCAUUCAUAUAGAGAACCUGGUGGCACAGUGGUUAAGCAUUUGACUGCUAACCAAAAGGUCACCAGUUCAAAUCUACCAGUUGCUUUUUAGAAACCCUAUGGGACAGUUAUACCCUGUCCUACAGGGUCGCUAUGAGUCAGAAUCGACUCGACGGCAGCAGGCUUGGUUUGGUUUUUGUAUUCAUAUAGAAGAUCAUGUGAUAUUUCUGGCCAACUACAUAUUUUGAACACUCUUUGUUUUCCCAGUAAAAUUUAUUUCUAGCAUCUUGGUGCUCAUAGAUGAACUGUCUACUGGGGAUACAGGUAAAGACAUUGGAUCCAGCUGCCUCUGGAGUUAGAAUCCUGACUAGUCUUUUACAUGCUAAUCAGUAGCCCCUGAAGUGGUGAUCCCUGAUUAAGUCCUUCAAAUGCUAACUUGCACAUAGAGAUAAAUCACAUUGUCUAUACCAGUAUUUUUUUUCAACUGCAGGUCUGAUCUGUUAGUGAGCUAUGAAGUCAAAUCAGUAAGACCAACAUCUUUCGCUUAGCAUAAGAUAGAUGGGAAGGGGUAGAGUGCAUUGCAUGCAGCUGGUUCAGCAUUGGUUGGUGGGUCAUUUGCUUCAGUUAUAUCUGUAUAUAUCAUUGGGCAAGGUUUCUUACUGUGGAUCAUGGUCAAAAAUGUUCGAAAUCUACAGUUAGGAUUUUAAAAUAAAUUACAGAUGGUGUAUACAGCUAUAUGGAAACCCUACGGCUGCUAACCAACAGGUUGGUGGUUCAGUUCCACCAGGUGCUCGUUGGAAACUCUUUGGGGGCAGUUCUGCUCUGUCCUAUAGGGUAGGUAUGAGCUGGAAUCGACUCGACAGCAAUGGGUUUGGUUCUUGGUUUGGUUAUACAACUAUGUAUUUAGUCAAUCCCAGGGUAUAAUGGAGUGAAAUUUGCUGACUUCUUGAGGGUGCUUUUAGUAAAAGAAACCUAAAGCUCUCCCAUAUUUCUGAGAUUACAUUAUUCUUGUACAGAGUCCUUGUCAGCCAAGACAGUAACUGAGAAGGAAAAGUUCUGUUUGUUGAAAAACAGAUCUUAAGCCAGGCAUCCUCUCAACAACAGCCUAUUUUCUGGAGGUGUUAAAAACCACUGUUAUGAUAGAUCUUUUAUGUGAACAUGUAGCUCGACUCCCUGAAUCUUCAAAACAACAGUAAAGAGAGAAGAUGUGAUAUGAUGAUUACAGCAGUAAUGACUCUAAGUGCCAGAUUUAGCGGUAUUUAAGUCAGGCUGUUACUGUGCAAAUGAUACUGUAAUACGGUUAAAAUACCCUUGACAAUAAGGAUGGUAGAUUAAAGGCCUUAGCACCUGUUCUAGUCUUCCCGCUUUUCCGUUUCAUAAAUGUUGCUUUUCUCAUUAACCCUUCAUAACUCCUGAGCUCUGCUGUCUCUGACAGUGCUUCAGAGAGAGGUGUUCCCACCCCCAUGCUUUUCUCUUCUUCUGCCUGCACAGUGGUAAUGGGCUGUCAACACGUGGCACGCUUUCUCUUACCCAAUUUCCUAGGUCCAACACAGCUAUUCCUGCAAAUUCAGGGCUUGAAAUAACACAGGAAAAUGCCUCUUCAGAAUCACCUGGGAAGCCUUUAAUAAGCUGUGGUGCUCUUCCCACUUGGCUGCUGUGCAGAGCUUUGGGAGAAACCCAAGCUGGAGUGUGUGCUCUGUGGAAGCAGGGACUUGCCCCCUUUCCUUAAUAUCAUGGCCUUUGUAUCUGGGAUAGCAGCUGGCAGAUGUGAGGUGCUCACAUAUUUGCCAGAUGAAUGAAUGAAUGAAUGAAUCACUGAUUUCAUUGGCAUUUACUUCUCUCAAGGCAUGUGCUCAGCUGACUGAGCUGCAGGGUACCAGAUGCAGUAGGGUGCCAUCUCUGUUGUUCAGGUCUGCAGAAGCCUGAGGACUUUGGCCCCACUCCUCAAUUAAGGGUUUUUGAAAGCAGCAGUCAGACUUGUGUAGGUGCUGACAAAUUUCCAGCUGCUGAUGAGGGGCUGGGGCCCUGGUGGUGCAGUGGUUGAGAUCUCAGCUGCCAACCAAAAGGUCAGCAGUUCGAAUCCACCAGCUACUCCUUGGAAACCCUAUGGAGUAGUUCUGCUCUGUCCUACAGGGUUGCUAUGAGUUGAGAUUGACUCAUUGGCAACGAGUUUGGGUUUUUUUUCCCCCCCGUUGGGAGCUGCUGAGCCUGGGCAUGUAAACACAAGAACAAACAAACAAAAAUAUUUUUUUAGCCAUUUUGAUGGAAACAGGUGCUUAAUGGAGGAAUUCUGUGAUGAAAAAUGAGAACAGGUAGCCCUCAUCUUUAUCUCUGCCGUAGAACUUACAGUUUUCUAAUUUGAGUUAAUUGUUGUUUAUAUCAAUUUCAAUUGUCUGCUAAAUGUAUGCUUCUUGAGGCAGAAUUUGUAUUUGUAAUCCGAUAGCAACUGACAUAGUGAGUCAUUGCACAUAGUAGGAGCCCAAUAAAUGUUUAAUGAAGGUGUAAAUGGAGCAGAUUGCCCAGAAGGAACUCCAUAAAUGCCUGUUGUGUUGUCAUCUUUAAUAAAAUGCAGGAAUUGGACUAGAAAGCUUCAGGUAUAGGUCCCUUCUGUCUCUCGUUUUAUUAUUCUGUGAUUUGGAAAAAUAAUUUUAAUUGACAAUCCCAUAGCGAGAAUCACAUCAUUUUCUCCAAGGUAAAAAGCCCAGACAAGGCUUUUUUACACAGGUGUUGGGGAUGAAGCUUAAGUAAUGGCGAGUACUACAGAUAGUGCAGAAGGUAGGCACUCUAAUAUGACAGUGCCAGGUACUCUGUCAGUGACUAUUUCUUGUACCUCUGGUGUUAGGGCAAUUGAUGUUCAUAGUAGUAACUGCCAAGAUGUGGCAAUGCUUUGGUCUUUACGGUACUCUUCAGUGUCUACACUGCCACCACUUGUAAAAAGGCAAGAAUAUUACUGAAUAUUGAAUCACGAGGUAUCUGCUGAUACACACACUUGAAGAUUUCGUUUGAAUCCUGCUUUGUCCACGAAGCCUUCUCCCCUGAUACUCUCCUUCUCUUCCCAGGAAAGGCAUGAUCUUUACAUGUGGCUCUUUCUGCCUGCAAAACCCCCUCCUCUCCUUUUAUUGUUGUUGUUAGUUGCCAUCAAGUAGAUUCCGACUCACGGUGACCCCGUGUGUGUAGAGUAGAUCUGCUCCGUAGGUUUUCAAGGCAGUGACCUUUUGGAAGCAGAUCACCAGGCCUGCCUUCCAAGGUGCUUCUGGGUGGGUUCAAACCGCCGACUUUUCGACUAGUGGUCGAGUGCUUAACUGUUUGCACCACCCAGGGACUCCUCCUCUAGGUUUAGUUCUGUCUAGAUUCUAAAACUAAUCCUGUCCCUCCUGAGAGGGAUUCACAACGCCUGAGCCCAUUAGCCUCAUGAGUCAGAAUCAACACAAUGGCCGCGGGUUUGGUUUGGUUUGGUUUUGGUUAAGCACGAGAGCAUCUAAACCUAGUUCUGUGGUCUUCUACUACUGGGGUCUCUCCCCAUGUGUACUCUGCCCCAGAGCUGUGCCUGCCCUCCAGGUGGGCUUUAUAUGCAACCAUUUAAGCUCUCUGAUGACAGCUACUUCCUUUUCUCAUCUUGAGCAGUGCUGUGUAGAGCCCACAUAGAGUUAGUUUUACCCUCCUUCAUGUGUGAUUUCUAGAUCUAGUUUGUCUCUCCGCCAGCAUCCCCGUUCUCUAAGGGAAGAGACAUUGUUUCACUUAUUGUAAUUCCUCUGUACUGUACCCAACACAUAGCUGAUAUUCAGAAAUCAUGGAACGAAUACAUUAGAGAGAAUGAAUUGUGUCUAGUAAAGUUUUAAUAUUAAGUAUAUACAUCUUUAAAUGGGUGAUAAAGUACGGUUCUCACUUUGAAUUCUAUCAAAUGUAAUAUGUGAUACACCGGUACCCUGUCUCCUGACAGGGCUGGAAAAUAGACUUACCUAAUAUGUAUUCAGCUGUAAAGCCAGAUCCUGAAAUGCUGAAAAGUGUUGGACUUAUUCUAUGGAAUACUCAUGUAAUAAUGAAGCCUCUGGGAAUAAGCUCCUCUAUAAAAAAAGUCAGCCUGAUUUAAAAGUGACAUAAAACCACCUGAAUAAAUCAUGCAAAGCAAAAUGUCAGCUUUUGAAGCUGCUUUUGAUAAAAGUACCUCAAAAGAAUGCCUGCAUUCUAUGUUCUCAUUCCCUGUUGAAGGUUAACAAGGUUGACUGUCUUUGAUUGUGUCAAGAUUAUAAUGUCUCUCAAGUCUCUUUCCCCACCCCUUUCUUCCCUCAUGAUGUCAUCUCCAGUUUUUCUUUUUUGCCCUCUGCAACCUGUGCACCCAUCCCUGAAAAAGAAGGCACCAUUUAGUUAUUAGCAAUUUAUAUUUACUAGCUACCUACUAGCUGUGUGCCCUAGGGGAAGUUACUUUACCUCUCUGAACCUCAUUUUCUUCCAUAGUGAAACAAGAAAUGACAACAGUAUCCACCUGCAUGGUGUCACUGACAGAAAAAAUAACAAAGGGAAAUUUGGAGUUUUUAAAUAUAUCCAAUGGAUGGUGACCAAAGUAUAACAGGGUGACCUUUCUGUCAUUUGGGAAAUAAUUGAAGGAGUUGAAGCUGCCUAGUCAGGAACAGAAGAAAACUUGAAGAAUGUCUUUAACCAAAACCAAGAACUCUGCUGUUGAGGUGAUUCCGGCUCAUAACUUCCCCAUAGGACAGAGUAGAACGUCCCCAUAGGGUUUCCAAGGUAUAAAUCCUUACGGAAGCAAACUACCACGUCUUUCUCCUGCAGAUUUGAACCAUGGACCUUUCAGUUAGCAGCCAAGUACUUUAACCACUGCACCAUCAGGGCUCAUCCAAGAAUUUAACCAGGAGGCAGAAUUGUCUUUAGGCAUGUAAAAAGGUCAUUUUACUUUCAAAUGUUUAAGGGCAAAAAUGAAAGGAGGUUAGAUUUUACUUUAUUAUUAGGGAGAACUUUUUGAAAAUUAGAACUCUUCUAAAGGGGCGUGGUCUACUUUAUAAUAUGUGAACUGGUAAUGUUUAAGCAUCUUAUAAUGAUUGUUAUGGAAGGUGUUUCUGUGUUAGCUUGAAGGUCAGCUAAAUGACCUGAGAACCUGUUAAUUCUUGGGUACUACAGAAAAUAUUUCAGUACAUGUUUGUGGUAGGCACAGACUCCGUGUCAUUAGGCAAUGACUGGUAUCUAAGUCUAACAUUCUCUGGCUUAGGAGAUAAGUCUUAUAUUUAUCCAAAAGAUGAAGUUUAACAGAAAUAAAUGCAAGUUUAGCUUUUCCAAAUAUUGGCACAGUUAUUGGAUGAGAGAAAUGUGGUAUAAUGGUAGCAGGAGGUUUUUCAAUGUUGACCGAAAACCAGAUUUGCUGAUCAGUGAUUCAGAACACUGAUGGGGCAGCCAAAAAAACUGAUUAGAUGUUAUGUGGUAUUGAAUGAAUGAACGAUUCUUAAGUUAUAUUCCAAAUCAAGGGAGAUUAGUGGAAAUUGGCACUUGAUGUUGACCAGAUCACACCAGAACAGUAGGCUCUUUAAGAGAUACUUAACAUUGACAAAAGAGUCAGAGGGAGAGAGUGGGGUGAAAUGGCUUUUAGGUAGCGUGGGCAGGUAGUUUCUUUCUGAUACAUGGCACUUGAGGAUUGGUGAGGAGGCACUGGUGAACUGGUGCAGAAUGCCCUGAUCCAAAGGAAGAACCUACUCUGCCGCUACUCAGCUCCAGCCCACUGUCCCCAGUCCAGUGUUAUCAGGUCUACUGUUUUUCAAGAGAAGCUAAAAAUCUAUGUAUUUUUGUGAAAUUCCUAAAAUACUGAGCCGGUAAGCCAACCUUGUCUGGAGUCUAGAUGUUCUUAUCUACCUACCAGUUUGUAGCCCCAGCAAGAGUCUCCUAGGCCCUUAGCCCUAUGUAGGAAUAAAGGAGAAGUCUUUGAGGGAACCAGGAUUAUUUGGCCUAGAGAAGGGACAAAGAGUUGCUUCAAGUAUUUGCCAGUAAUCAGGUGGAAGACCAAUUUGGCUUGUUCUGUUUCCAGAAGGCUGAGCGAGGACUAGUGGAAGAAAGCUGCAGGAAGGCAGAUUUUAGUCAAGAAAGCACUAACAAUUUAGAACAACCCUGAAAUAGGCUGUUUGGUUGAAAAUUCUUGUUUCUAGAAGGUGGUGUUCGAGCAGAUGGUAGAUGACAAGUUGUCAAGAGUGUCCAGUGAAGGGUCUAGACCAGAUGAUAUUUCAGGUUCCUUCUUAUCUUGAGAUCCUUGGAUCACCAAGAUCUAGGCUUCUGUUCAGAUGUUCACCAGACGCUGGCAUUUGGGUUCACGAGUGAGUUGACACCCUCCCGUACUAGGCAGGUGCACUGUUCCUAAAGGCCUGGCUUUUCUCUUUGUGUCUCCUUCUAAUACAUGAUGAAGGGUCUUUGGUUCGCGACUCUUGUUAAAAGUUUCUCUUUCGUGUAAUAAAUCACAGCAUUCGAAGCCAAAUUCUCAAGAAGAGCUUUAGAGUCUCUGAAGCUCUAAUUGUUUUCUUCUCCGGACUGCGUAUAGAACAGCUUGAUCGCUAGCAAUUUAACUAAAGCCGGUUGAUUCAGAUUCUAACCCUGCAGAGAAUUAGCAAUGCAGAGUGAAGUGAACUAAAGAUAGUUUAUUUAAAAAAAAAUCUUUAGCUGGAAUUGUCUCCCACUUCAUUAUUAUUUAUCUUACUAGUAAGAAUGUGAAAAUAAACCAAAAACCAAACCCGUUGCCGACUCCAAACCCGUUGCCGUCGAGUCAAUUCCGACUCAUAGCGACUCUAUAGGACAGAGUAGAACUGCCCCAUAGAGUUUCCAAGGAGCGCCUAGUGGGUUUGAACUGCUGACCUUUCGGUUAGCAGCCGUAGCACUUAACCACUACGCCACCAGGGUUUCCAAGAACGUGAAAAUAGAACCCUGUUAUUUCAUUCAUUUCUGUAUACAUAACCUUUUGUUAACAGUUGAGAUGGGACUCUCUGCUUCUGUCCUUGAUUUAAUGAUUCACAAGUAUUUAUUUCUUAUCAGGGUGACAGUUAAUGUAUUUCCAGGCUAGGUAAGAGCUCUUGAUCUUCUUUGACUUAUAACUGCUUUUAAUUGCUUUGUAACUGACCGAUGGUACAAUGCUUGCACAAGCAGUGUGUUCAUUUCCAAAUCAGUUACUGCAAUAGGUACCAGGUGCUUAAAACAGGUAUUUUAAACUGGAACGUGGGCAGUUACAUUUUUUCAAAGCUUAUGAAGUCAGUAUUAUGGUACUCAUGAAUGUUAUCAGUGAGGAUUAUGGUCAUAAAUUCCACACCCCUUCUUGAAUCUAAGAUCCAUCAGUCGAACACAGGACCUGGUACCACCUACCUGUCACAAGAGUGAAGACCGUGCCGUAGCAGUGGGAUGUAUCACAUACCCCUCCAAUUCGUGAUCCUCAGGGAGGCUCAUCCUGCCUGGCUUAGUUAGUUACCGAGUCUGGCACUUGACCUCUUGAGUAAUGGGAGGAGGCCCUACUGAGAAUUUUGAGAGUGUGGGACAUGAGUGGAUAGUUUAAGGAUUUCCCUCAAGCUUUCCUUCCCUGACUAACUUAGAAAGAUAAGUAAUGUCUGGUGAUUUUAUUUAAUUCAGCAUUUAUUUCUUUGUUUAAUUUUUUUUUUAUUCUGCCAGAUUCUACAGAAAAUACCAAAUUGAAUGAGACAUAAGUUUUUAAGAAGCUUCCUUUCUGUAGUCAACCAAAUAAGUCUAAGAAAUAGAGCAAAGGCUACUUAAUUUGUAGUAUAAUGUUAGUGACAAGAUUGCAGUUAUCAUAUUUGUAUACAAAUGAUUUCCUAACAAUUCAUUUUUCUACUGUCAGGCUCUAAAGAAGUAGCUGGGGUAUCUGCCCUCCUAGGGGGAUGGGAAGCUGUCCUUGGUGGAGAGCAAAUAUUAACUUUAACUGGCAUGAAUACCUUCGAUUUUCUUGUAUUUGCCUUAAUUGAUACCAGAUUUGAUGGCUUUUUCUCCUUGUUUAUAAGAGUAAAAUAUAGAAAAUUUAAUCCUACUGUUUAAUGAGCACUCUUUUUACAAUCUUACGCAAAUUGUAUCACAGAUAAAACUUCCUCUGCUGCAGGCAAAAUAUUUCAUUUGCAAAUGAAAAAGCAAAUUGAGCCAAUACAUUGUGUAAGACGUUCGUAGUUCAGUGUAGAAAAUGAUGUUAUUUGAUGUCAGCUGGAACUGAGGUACUGUAACGGCUAUGAGAUGUUAAAAUAAUGGAGGAGUUUAGAGAAAUAUGACUGUGAAUUUUACAGUUGGAAAAAUAGAAUUUAUUUAUACCUUUCCGUGAUUUGGUAGAUGUACUAAGCCAAGUAAUCUUUAAGUUGGUAUCAGCUUUCAAUGGGUGUUUUCUUACAAGCUUUCUAAUAAUACCAUCAAUUCUUUCAUAGUAAUGAAUGGAUAAUUAAAGCGAAAAUAAACAGCGAUUUCAUUCUUUUCUACUUUUACCCUCUUUUUUAACAUUCGAUUAUGGAAAAUUUCAAUCGUAUAGAAAGCAGAUUAAUAUAACACAGCCUAUUUUCCCAUCCCAUUUAUCAAAGCAUUACCAGUCUUGCUUUAACUGUACCUCUACCAACCCCCACCCUGGCCUCAGAUUUAAAAGCAAAUCCCAGGCAUCGUAUAAUUUCAUUGUAAAUAUUUCAGUAUAUAUCUCCAUCAAUAAGUACUCUUUAAAAACAAAACAAAAAACCCCAUCACUACAGUACCUUUAAACAGACCUACUUCUGAGUGGCAGUAGGAAGUAGGGAGUGCUGGGGCCUAACUAACCAGGUGCUGAAGAUAUUAAUUAGCUCUAGGUACUUGGACAAGUCAUUUACCCUUCCUCUCUCCCAGCUUUCUCAUUUUUAAAAAGACGAGAUUCAACUAAAUUGUCUAACAUCUCAUCUGUCUCAAAAAUGUAUAAUUUAAAAUUAAAAGGACUUGCGUUUUGGUUUGCUGUAUCAUUGUUUUCCUUCUUAUUCUCUUUUGGAAGAGCUAUGAAGUAGCCAAAAGGAGAGAGGAAAAAUAAAUGAAGAAUCUGCAUUAAAAAAAAAAAAAUUAAACAAUCAGUCUGUGGAAACAUAGUGAUGAAUUUGCGUUGGGGGGGUCUCUCAAUCACUUAGCAGUUUAAAUGUACCAUUUGUAAAAUGUGAACUUUUUAACAUCCUAGCUUUUCUUUUGUAAGUGAAGAAAUUUGGCUUUUAAAAGUUUCUACUUUCAACAGUAGAGUGAGAUGGGACAAGUGGCCUCUUAGGAAAAUUAAUCUGUUUGUUGCAUUUAUGGGAAAUUGGAAUUUGGAAACUAGAAAUGAAAAGGUUUUGAGAUGGAUACCCGAGAUAUGACAAAGGAAAGAUCAAUAAGCUUUGGUGGAGAAAACCACUUUGAGAUUUUGAACCUAGAUGACUUCAAGUACCACUGAAAGGACACGAAAAAGUCAGAAAGGUGAAUUUGUUUGCUGAGGAUAUGUUGUGUUUAAUAUGACGAAGGUCUGCUGUGGGCCAUGCCCGGUAGGCCGUUAGGAGGUCCUGGCCUGAAGGUUUCUCCAAGGUAGGGCCGGAGAAACAGUGGACUACCUAGGAGAAUGGUCGCCACCUGUCAUCCUGUCCAGCCUCUCAGGUACAUUCCUGCAUCUAGAAUCGUCCAGUUACAACUUCUCAGGUGCUGACAUUGGGACUGCAUUGCUUCAAAUUCUGUAUCACUGUGUCAUUACUUUUCAUGUUUACUGAAGUUGUAAUAACUUUUUCCAUAGUUUGCCAUUCUCUUGCUUUUUCUCUAUUUAUUGAAGGACCAGUUAACUAAAGAACUUCAUUAAUUUUGUUACCCUUUACUAAGAACCUACUACAUACACUAUCAAACCAAAAACCAAACCCACUGCUGUCGAGUUCAUUCUGAUUCAUAGUGACCCUAUAGGACAGAGUAGAACUACCCCUGCCCCAUAGGACUUCCAAGGCUGUUAUAAAUCUUUACGAAAGCAGACUGCCACGUAUUUCCCCUGUGGAGUGGCUGGUGGGUUCGAACCUUCAAGCUUUUGGUUAGCAGCCUAGUGCUUUAAUCAGUGCACCACCAUCAGGGCUCCUCACAUACACUAUACUGGAUACUUUAUAUACAUUAUUUAUAAUCCUCCCAACAGCCCUGCAAGGUAAGCAUACCUCUUUUGUAGAUGAGAAAAACUAGGCUCAAGCAGGUUGAAUUACUCACCCAAGGUCACGCAGCUGUUAAAUGGCUGAGCUAGAAUUCUAACUGAGGUCUGUCUCUGAAGUCCUCGCUCUUACUAGGUUUGCACUAAUGUAUUUAAUCAUGUGACCUACACAGUACUGCUUAACUGAACAGUUGUUUGGAGCCUAUGAAGGGACUUUUCGUUAAGAUGCUUUUCUGCUUUUUUCACAUUGCAUGUAGCAGGUAGCUGUUACUGAUGAGUUCUCCAGGAGAAACGGAUCCGAACAUGUCCAUUUUAUCUGUUCAUUGAGAAAAGCUAUUAUUUGAAUAUUUUAACUUCUAUAUUCAUAUUCUCACACGUGAGACAUCAAAUUCAUUUAUUCCGUUUUAGUAAACAGUGUACUUUUUUCUCCAGAUUAUUGCUCUUAUUUCUCUUUUCCCUCUCUCUGCCCCCACAAAUAAAUUACCAUAAGAUUAAACCUUUCUUUGAUGUGUAAGGAUAGAAAAGCAAAAUCUGGCCUUGAAAACUAAAAAAUUGCCUUAGUUUCUAAAAAGAAACUAAUUUCUUUAGGGUUGGAGGGAAAAAAUUCCAGAACAUACAGUUUAUGAACCAUCCAGAAAGUUUCUACCUGAAUUCCAAGUUUUUUAAAUACUCUUUUAAAUAAGUUUUUAAUAUAUUAGUAAACUUCUUUUUUAUAUCACUGUAAGAUUUAAAUAUAUUUAAAUAUAUUCUUUAAGCACAUGUUUUAAUGGAGAGGGAUGUUUAAAUAGGGCAUUGUGAAAUAAGUGAUAUUUUUACAUGCUAAUAGACUACUUGGAAAUUCUGGUGGCACAGUGGUUAAGAGCUCAGGUUGCUAACCAAAAGGUCAGCAGUUCGAAUCUACCAGGCAUUCCUUGGAAAACCGUAUGGCGCAGUUCUUCUCUGUCCUGUAGGGCCGCUAUGAGUUGGAAUUGACUCCACGGCAACGGGGAGGUAGUGGUAGUGAAUAGACUCUUGAUAUAUUUCCAGGAAUUUGUGAUGCGUAGAAAAGGCAAUCUAGGAUACUGUCCACACUUUUACUGAAUUAAUGGAAUUGGAUUUUCUUUAAAGUUCUUUGAAAAAAAGUAAUCUAUAAAGAUAGGAUUUUUGUUACUCCCAUCCGCAACAUGGACAUGUGAACGAUGAUAACGACAGUGCUUUGCCUGGCUUUGUAGAAACCAGCGUUCUGUUCUCACUGUCGCUGUUCCCACCCUAUUGGGAGGCAGAGACAGAGAGAACACCUCUUAGUGGAGCCGAUCGAGUUUUGAAGAGACACUGAUUUUUCCAUCUAGCUGUUGAAAACCAAUCUUCUUAGAGUCGUACCUCUUAGUCUGCUGAAGCAUUUAAAAGUCAGUGCCUCUUUACCUUGGGUAAAAAAAACAGUCGCCAUCAAGUCAGCUGUGACUCAUGGCAACUCCAUGUGUCAGGGUAGAAUUUUGCUCCGUAGGGUUUUCAGUGGCUGACUUUUCAGAACUACAUUGCCCGGCCUUUUUUCCAAGGCCUCUAUGGGUGGACUCAGACAGACCUCCAACCUUUGGGUUGGCAGCCAAGCACAUUAAGCGCAUCAACUCUUUCCACCACCCAGAGACUCCAGCUUGGAUCGGCUGAUGAUAUUUAACAUGAGUUCACAGCAAUGCCGCACCCUCCUUCCUGUCCUCGUCCCUUUCCCACCUCCCAUUCCUAAUCUCCACUCAUUCUGUGUCAGGAAUCUACAGGGUAGGUAAUGUGAACCUGUAAAGGGCAGUGGACUGGGGGGUGGGGAACUGCUGGAGACAGGAAAUAAUCCAUUCUUAAAUUUUUUAAAACUGUUUUCUGUUAGCUACAGAACGCUUUGUUCAAAUAACAUUUGAUCCCAAACUCUAGAACAGGUAAAAGGUGAGCUGCUCUCUUUGGAACAGGAACACAAAGCCCUCUCCUCUAGUGGCCCCCCCCGCCUUCUGAGUAAAGGUAGAGAGGGAGAGUGGAAAGUGGAGCCUUCUAAACAACUUCCGGGAACACCAUUUGAAAAGCACUGCUUUGCGCUGAAGAUGUGCGUUUUGGUGUGGCAUGCAAGCUGAGUCCAGUUUAGGGAAAGAUGGAUUUUCACUGUUUGAAAGCUCAGCCCCCAGACCAUGUUGUUGUUGGUUGCCGUUCAGUUGAUUCCGACUUGUGGCGGCCCCACGUGUACAGAGUACAGUUGCUCCGUACAACUUACUAGGCCGUGACCUUUCUGAAGCAGAUCGCCAGGCCUGUCUUCCUCUGCGCCUCUGGGUGGUUUUAAACCAUCAACCUUUUGGUUAUUAGUCAAGCACCUAGCCAUUCGUGUCACCCAGGGAACCCCAGAGCAUGUAUGAUCCUUAAGAGGAAAACAGCAAAUUUCGUUUGAGAGCUUAAUUGUGUAAGACAUCAAAAAGCAUAACUUAAUAAAUUUAAAAUUUUGAAUAACCAGACUGUUUGUUUUUCCAUGUUGUUUUCCUGUUAAGAUUGCCCCUUUCCUUAACAAGAGAUGGAGUCUCCAAUUUUUAUUGCUUUUGGGAAAUGGCAUCAGUACAGGAUACUUGCUGUAUUUACUAUGAGUAGAUUUUAAUCAUUACAAUUUCUCUGAUGACUCUUGAGCCAUGGUGUAUAUCAGUUGUUAAUUUUCUUUUUUUCCUUAGGUAACAUUGUAUUUAAUACAUCUACCUUAUAAAUUGCAUAAUGGGGUUUACAGAUUUGUCAUCAUUCUGACCUAUCUUUGGAUCUUCUGUUAAAAAAAUACGAAACAGGGACUUGCAGCAAGAAUAAAAUAGCAUAGAUUUUUAGUCUCUCAAAACCCCUUUAUGUGCAUCACCACUGUGUACGAAGAAACUUCCCUAUUCUCAGAUAGUAUCCUUUUGAAUAAUGAAGUACUGAAAGGUGGAAGUCAGGGGCCUGUGUUUGGUUGUUUUGAUAUCAUAAAUGAUGACAUUGGUGGAAAUGGUGUUGUGUGAUACUUAGUGAAAAUAAAACCUCAGUAUUUAGGAAUUCAAAAUAGUUUGAAUAAGAAUGUAACCAAGUUGGCCCACAUUCUGUAGUGCAAGUUGAUAAAUAGUAAUCAGAAGAUUACGAUAUAAAACUACUAAAUAAACUCUGACUACACAGAUAAAACAACUCAUUAUGUAAAACCACAUUUAAAUCUAAUAAUUUAACAGGUAGCAUGUAGGGAAACCCUCCUAGUCAAGAUUACAUGGCAAAGUACAAUUUACAGUCCAGCGGAUUUGCAUCAGCAUUCUGCAGCUGUAUUCAGAGAUGAGCUUUUCAGUAGUUUCUAUAAACUGUCCCCUGUGUUUUAUCGGAUAUAGUAGUUAUAUCACAAACUCAUUGCCAUCAAGUUGAUUCCAACUCAUAGCAACCCUAUAGGACAGAGUUGAACUGCCCCGUAGGGUUUCCAGUGAGCAGCAGGUGGAUUUGAACUGCCGACCUUUUGGUUGGCAUCUGAAUUCUGAACCACUGUGCCACGAGGGCUCCGGUUACAUCAUAAGCCAUUGGAUCUCACGCGUAGCUACCACCCGUCUGUCAGUGGAGGUUAGCAUGUUGCUGUGAUGCUGAACAGGUUUCAGCAGAGCUUCCAGACUAAGAUGGACUGGGAGGAAAGGGCUGGUGAUCUGCUCCUGAAAACCAGCCAGUGGAAAACCCUGUGGAUCUCAGUGGUCUGACCCACGGCCGAUCACAGGCAGAGCGAGGACCAAGCAGCGUUUGUUCAGUUGUUUGUGAGGUCACCCUGAGUCCAGGGCUGACUGGAAGGCCGACUUGAAGGAAGCUGACAACUCCUUAUUACUCGAUUAAUUCAUGCUUUAAGAUUGUGGGCUGAAAGGUGCCGUUAAAUGCACAUUACUGUUUAUUAUGUGAAUACUCUUCAUGUUUUAACAGGCAAAAAGCAGAAUAAAAGGAAAAAAAGAAACUAUAACAAAUAGUAACAGCAUUUGAAAGCAGAUUUCCAAAAGUGAUGAUUGCGUUGGACUUUAAACAAAUCUUUCUAUUAGAUGGAGCCCUGGUGGCCCAGUGGUUAAAGGUUGGCUGCUAACCAAGAGGUCAGCAGUUCAAAUCCACCAGCUGCCCUUUGGAAACCCCGUGGUGCAGUUCUACUCUGUUCUGUAAGGGUCGCUAUGAGUCAGAAUUGACUUGAUGGCAACGGGUUUAUAUUAGGUGAGGUGCUUUAAAAAAUUUUUUUUUUUUAGUAUUUAGAAGGCUUUUAUUAUGUAAGUGCAUGUAUCAAUGUACCAAUUAUGGAUGUUAGUAAAUUGCUAUUAUCAGUUUUGCAACAACUCUCAAUAUUUUUUUCACUUUACUUGCUUUUCUCUGUUUAGUACCUGAGAAUGAUGCUUACUAUUACUGUUAUCUUGUCCCAAUUUAGUAGUAGUUUUUCUCAAUUUUUAGUAUUUCUAUUUCAAUUGAAGUGAUUUAAAUCCUUUUUAAAGCCGCCCUCCUUUUUUACCCCUAUAGAGAUGAAUUUACAUAUGGAUCCAUUUCCAUAUAACAGUAACACAGAGACUCCUUUUCUGUCACUAUUUUCUUGCAGGUAAUAAUGAAACUAAUAUGUAUGUGUGUCUGAUUCUUACAGAACCUUAUAUGUGGUUCUGUAAGAAUUAGACGUUGUUUUACAUCGUUGUCUUAGUCAUCUAGUGCUGCUAUAACAGAAAUACCACAAGUGGAUGGCUUUAACAAAGAGCCAUUUCUUUCCUCCCAGUCUAGUAGGCUAGAAGCCCAAGUUCAGGGUGCCGGCUCCAGGGGAAGGCUUUCUCUCUCUUUACAGCACUGGAGGAAGGUCCUUGUCACCAGUCUUCCCCUGGCCUGGGAGCAUCUCAGCACUGGAACCUCAGGUCCAAAGGAUGCGCUUUGUUCCCGGCACCGCUUUCUUGGUGGUUUCAGGUCCCCAAUCUCUGCUUGCUUCCCUUUGUUUUUAUCUCUUGUAAGAUAAAAGGUGGUGCAGGCCACACUCUAGGGACGCUCCUUUAUAUUGGAUUAGGGUUGUGACUUGGUAAGGGUGUUACAAUUCCACCCUAGUGCUCUUUGACAUAAAGUUACAAUCACAACAUGGAGGACAGCCAGCGAAUACUGGGAAUCGUGGCCUGACCGAGUUGAUACACGCAUGUUGGGGGGACACAAUUCAGUCCAUGACGGUUGUGAUGGAGAUUGGUGAUUAUGCUACAACUAAAAAAGUCAAACACUAAAAUUUUCAGUUUUGAUGCCUUUUAACGCUGUAUUCAUACACCGUAUUUUACAUAAAUGAUGUGUACAUUAUAUGUUUUUUUCCAACUGCGCGACCCCCUCACACAUUAUUUUCGUAGGUGUGUUAUAUGUGGGCAAGUUAUUUAUGUGAGCACGCUAUUUGUGGAAAAUACGGCUUGUGAUAAGAUGUUAAUGGAAGUAAAAAAUGUGACUUUUUGGUGCAAGAAUUCUACCCACAUAAGUAUUCAUUCAACAAAUAGUUACUGAGUGCCAUUUCCUGUAUGCCAGGCACCGUGCCAGACACCUAGGACACUGCAGUGUACCGAACAAAAUCUCUUUCUCAUGAGCAUACCUUUUCCCUCAGCUGAAGAAGUAGACUAGCUUCAUAACAGUAAACCAAAACAAAAUGAUUUUAUACAUAGGAAAAAAUACCCCACUGUGAAAGUCAGCAGUUGAAAUGUUAUCCUGUGUGAAGCAUGAGUCCUGUUUUCUGUGUGGUUCCCUAUAAAUGGUGACAGAGUUCUUAGAGGAGCUGAUGAAAUGUUGUAAUGCAGAUUCAUGUUCAGGACUAGUUUCAACGGUAAAUAUGUAUGUGAUUUUUUUAGCCUAGUUUGGCACUGUAAAUUGCUUCAUUUUUAUUUUAUUAAAUAAAUUGAUGCAGAUUUGUACGGGCUGAUGGCAUUGUACUGGCUGUAACUAACCAGAAUAUAUGCUAGCUGAAAUGUUGAAAUUAUCAUGUAGUAUUUAGGAAUCAAGAAAACAGCUUCUCUUUGUGUGUGUGUUUUUUUUUUAAACAUCGAACCCAAUGAUGGCUUUGUUUAAUACUCCCAAGCAAUUCUGCCCAAGGGAAAGACAGUUAACAGAAUCAGAGUAAAAGAAAAAUCUAGCUCAUCAGUGGUCUCCUUUUGUAAAUUUACAUCCCUCGAGAAAAGCUAAUUAAUAGAAGUACAUCGUGCCUUGCUUUUCCCCAAGAUGUAAAUUACAAGAAUACACACAGACUAAGAGUGGUAAUUGAAAAAAAAAAAUCUCAUUUGUAAGGAAAAAGAGAGAUUUUCUUUUUUUCUAAUUUGCCUUUAAGAUACAUCUUCAGUAUUAUAUGGAACUAUUUCUAAUGUAGUGGAAACCAUUUUCUUUGAACACACAAACAUAAAGAUUUCCAAUAGUCUGUAGCUAAUAUGCACUGUCUGAAGCUAAUAGAUUGGAUAGCUUACCACUGCUGUUUGAGCAAAAGUUAAUGCUUCUGAGACCAGCUAAUACACUUAAUUAUAGUAUAUGAACAGUGGGUAUUCUGCUUAUUUUUAUUACAAGCUUUAUCCACUGUGCAAUUUUCUUACAACGUGUUGACAAUAAUCCUCUUUAAGCUAGUGCUUAAAUAUUUAUUGAAUGUGGUAGCCAAGAAGCUAUGUUUAAAAGACACGUAAAAACUGAUGUCUCGAUAUGGCGUGGCGUGCAGCUGCUUACCAAAUAACAUGACCUGGGUUAUGGCCUAUCUCAAACUUUGUAAUAAUAAGUAAAAUUUCAAUAUUGAGCUGGAAUGCUAAAGAAAAUAAAGUUUGCAUCCCCAAAAUAACUCAAUUGUGCAUCAGCUCUACUAAACUAGCCAAAAUCUAGAGUAAAAAAUCUUGAACACGCAAGAGAUUCUCCAAGAGGAUCACCUCACCGUGUCCAAAGGAGUUUCGACUAUAUUAUAAGGCCCCCCAUUUUUAAUAGUUCUACAGUUUCAUUUUAAUAUGAAAUUUAUAUGUAGGACAUAUAUUUUAUAGUUUUUCCCUUCUCCAUAUAUGUAAACUUAUAUAAAUUAGGUAAAGACAUAAAAGUUGAAAGGCGUGAGGAUGUACAGCUGAAUUCAGGAAACACUGGUGCAUUGGGGGUGUGUGUGUUCAGACAAAUAGUAGCAAUUGCGAUGUGAUAAAGAAGAAAAAUACUGAAGAAAAUUUUCUCAGGGUAAAGCUCUAUUAGCACCAUUUUUUCCCGGUACCCUCUGUGAAGCAUCCGAUUUUUAAAAAAUGUAAAAUAAAGCAGUUACACCCAGAAUGUUAGCUUAUUAAAGGACCUUUUAUGACUGUAAAUUAUUGCAUCAUUUGUAUGUCCAGUAUUACAGAGUCAGAGUACAGUAGAACCAGAUAUUUCCCUUGAAAUCAGGCUUGAUUUCUUGCCUACUUUCGUUAUUUCCCCAAAACUCUUGUUUUUCUCAUUAUUGUUUUUGUGCUGGUUGGAAUUAAAAGAAGUUAUUAUUUCUAAUAAUUAAGCCAGACUGCUUUUUUUAAACAGAAUCUGGCAAUUCUGUCAUUUGUAUCUCCGCCUCCAAUUUCUUACCUUAUAAUUAUUAAUUUUUAACUUGUGUGUGUUUUAAGGCAAUAGUAAUAGUUGUAGCGCUGGGGGGAGAUGACUGGAUAGGAAUGGCAUUAGUAAAAUCAGCUGGGGGUCUGGUGCUGCACUGGGCACUUUACACAAUGCUCACUGUUAACUCCCAGGUACCCCAAAAAAAACCCACUGCCGUCAAGUCGAUUCCGACUCAUAGUGACCCCAUAGGACAGAGUAGAUCUGCCCCAUAGAGUUUCCAAGGAGCGCCUGGCUGAUUCGAACUGCCGCCCUUUGGUUAGCAGCCGUAGCACUUAGCCACUACGCCACCAGGGUUUCCACGCCACCAGGUAACAAGUUGUUAAUUCUCUGUUUCAGGAUAAAAAGCUUGGAGAUAAAAUUUAAGUGGCUUUGCCUGAGGCCUGUGUCACACAUGCAGUAAGGGGCAGUUUUAAUCACCUCCUCUUCACCCCAUGGGUGAGGGAGGGAUUGCUGCACAAGGGUUAUAGGAAUGACCAAACACUUGACACGCGACCUGGGCAGAAGAGAUUGCUGCAGUUAAUUAGUCACAUAUGCUCUCUGAUGGGGGAAGAAGACCGCCUGCCGCACAGGGCCACGCGGGCCUUGUGUCUGGAACAGAAUGAACAACCAGGGGCUGUGGGAGGCAGGCUUUGUAGUUUCAAGAGUGUGGAGUUCCCCUUGGUUCCCACAGGUUGGAUGUGAUUGCCUUGUUUGAGUAAUUCCAUGGGCUGGCAGGGAACUGAAAUCUGCUGCUUAGGGAUAAGCAGGAACCACACAGGCCCAUUUGAUAGCAUUCUUAUUUACAUGUCUAGAAUUUUCUCUUCUUUCAGGUCUCACUCCAAAAGAGUCCUUCCUUGACUGUGCUACCAAAAAUUGACCCUUUUGACUGUUCCAUGCAUAGUGGUUCCCAGGUCAACCACUUACUACCUGUGUAAUUUUUCCAGUGUGCUUAAUGUUUCUGUGCCACAGUUUGCUAAUCUGCAAAAUGGAAAUAUUUUAAUAGGUUAGGUUGUAGUGAGAGCUGAAUGUAUCAAUACAUGUAAAGCACAAAUUGUAAUAGUCCCUGGCAUGUAGUGAGCACCCAGUAAACAGUCAGUCUCUAAUUCCCAUCAUCAGCAUCACCAUCAUCAUUAAGGGUGAAAGUAGUAGCGUAAACCAAAUGUUGUAGACGUCCUGACAAGGGAGAGAUCCCUGAGGCCCUGGAUUAUCACGGAAAGCUUCCUUUUAAGGAUGAAACUGAGUGAAAAUCACAGCCUCUGUGUAGACUCUUGCUUGUUUCUCUCCAACAGGCACACCAUCUUCCUCCUUUGGUUUCUACAGUCCUUUUGGUUCUUCUUUGUUGAUACUGACCUUGAUCUUCCUUGUAUUGUAGACUGUGUAUUCUCACAGAAGAGGUGGCCUUGCAUCUCUGCAUCCUGGCAGUAUUGUACCCUACACACUGGACAGUGACCACCUACUUGAUCAAUAUAUAUAUAUAAAAAAAAAAAAAAAUCAGAGUUGCCAUAAAAUCAACAAGUUUAAAACAUUCUCAGUAUGGCAGCGGGUGCAGUUUGAGCACAGUGGCUCCAAAGAUCAGUUGCUGGAAAUGGUCAAGUUGGACCAGUGAGGGGCAGAGUAUUAUGGAGUCUUGAGUUGGCUGUAGAGUCAGUUUAAUUCAACAGAUAUUUGGAGAGCGUUGCUUUGUGCCCGUGUCUGAGCUAAGAUCUUGGGAGCAUAAACAUGACCCAUCACCUCUACCCUUAAAGUAUUUUAAGUUGAUUUAUCUGGGACAUAAAUGAGUGGAGAAGAGCAAGAAAGAUAUCCUAGGCAGGCUUCAGCAAGAGAAAACAACUAGAAGCAUAGAGUUGAGAAGUUUCAAGAAUUCAGUUUGUCUAGAAAAAAAGGUUUGUUCAUGCUGGAGCAGGAAAAAAUGAGGCUGAAGAGAGGGGGCCCAAAUUAUGGAGUAUUUGGGAUACCAGAACUAAAACAUGGGCUUUAUUCUAUAAACAUCAAAGCCUGGGGAAGGUUUUAACAAAGAGUUAGCAGAAGUAGUAUUCAGAAUUAGAGAAUACAUUUCUGUCUUUUUUUUCUAAGUUUGAAAAGGUGUGAAUUAAAAAGAACAAAUAUUCUCAAAGUAUGUGUCAGGCACUUUAACUAGUUAGGCGAUUUUGAGCUGUUAAUAGUUGGUGCUAAGUAAAUUUUACAGUAUUGUGAUAGGCAUUGGUGGCAAUCAGCCAUUCAGGUUUUAGGCCAUGUAUUCUUUACUUAAAUAAUAUUUAAAUUUAAAUGUUUCUUUUUCAUUGUAUUUUAUGCAUCAGGAGCAUGAUAUAUUCUUGAAGUAUUUAGUAAAGUAGAUAUUGUUGCAUGUGACCCAUCUCAUAUAUAAAUGUAAAAGAGAAGCUUAAUUGAAACAUUUGGUUUCAACCAUACUCAGAUUGAAACCAUAAAAGAAUCCGAAUGACUGUAGGUGUAUAGUCAUCAGACUUACCCCCGUAGCUACAAAUUUUCCCUCAACUUUAUCUCAUUAUUCGAAGACUAUACUUGGCAAGCAUUUUUGAAUACUCACCACACCACACGAUGGUUAACAAUUGUCUCCAUUUUAAGGAAGUCAUGAAUAUUAUUAGAUUUGCUGCCUCCAAAUAAUUGAGUGUUAAUUGGUUUCGUUGGCAAGGAAUUAUGGGUAAAAUACAAGACUUGGAAUAGGUGCUCAGUAAUACUUAUAAAUCGGUUGAUCAAAACAAAUGUUUUUUUAUUUAUUGACAUUGAGUUUGUCAUGUUUUGCUUUUUAUGUGUGUUUUUUAAAAAAUAAUCCCUGUUAUUUACAUAAGAAGCUUCUCUAGAUUCUAAACACGAGACUCUGUCCCCUGUGCAGGUUCCUCACGCACACUGCAGAAAGAAGCCAGGUGUCUAAAUGCCUUACUAAUUGGCCAUCACAAAAUGUUACUUGGCAAAUGCCAGGAAUCCAAGGACUAAAGGGACACAGAGUGUGUGUGUCAUAGCCCCUGUGCCCAGAGACACUUCCAAAUUCAUGGGUACCCUACCCUCCAGGUCUGAACCCUGGAAUUGUGCUAGGGAUUGUCAUGGAUGAAUGUUUUGAUCAAGGCAGACCUGGGAAAUGGAAUUAGAGUUUUAAGUGAACCAUUGCUGGCUAGUUGCCCAAAGCCUCUAAAACCCCAGGAAAUUAUGGGAGGAAGUCUGGGAACAUCUGGAACAAAUUAUAUACACUUACAACGACCCUUCUCCAGCCUACCGUGUAGUAGCUGUCUUGACCCACACCCUUGAGCAAUUUAGAACUCCCAUCAUAUGACACUAGAUUUUGAAAAUGGAAAGAUGUACUUUUAAUGUGUUUUAGUAGAUUAACACCUUCAACCAAAAUGCUUUGUAUCUCCUAUCCCAUCCCCCAAUCCAGAUGUGUAACUAAAGGACCAUGGCUCUCUCAAUGAGUAGCCCAAUUUCUUUUUAACCUAAGAUUGAAGCCCACUUUUUCUCAGCGAGUUGCCAAGGGAGCCAGAGAAGCUGUACUUAUUAAUUCUAAACAUUCUUAUCUUUUUUUAAAAUAUAUAAUGUAAAAUAAUGACAUGCAUUAUAUCCAUGUUAACAUUUCCACUUCAAAAUAUAAACAGACCCAGGUUCAUAUAGUAUGAACAAAAAUCUUUUAGCAUCAAAAGAGAAAAUUGUGUUUCUUGAUAGAAAGGAAGUGGUCACAGCUCACGGCAGCCAGACCAAUCUGUCAGUGCUUUGAGAUAUAGAGUUGUUGGUGAGAUACUGAGAUAAAGGAUGAAGUAAGAUCAGCCUAAAUGUUUCAGUCUAGUUAGGUUGAUUUGUAUACUGCUUAGAAAAAUUUCACUUUCAGGAGAGCAGUUUUCAGAUUUUAACUAAAUAUAAAAAGCUUGAGUUUUGGUUGGACUUGGUUUUUUUUUUUUUUUUUGAUGUCUCGAAGGCGUUUUCUGUCAUUUCAUUCCCCUAAGUUCCUGCUCUUCCUGGAACUGGCUCUUGUUGACUCCCAGCCUUGUAGCUGAAUAUUUAAAUCCUGAGAGACUAGCUUAUUUUCAGACUCGUUAGCAAUCUGCAGAAACAAGCACAAGAAAUUUGAAACACCUAGAGAUUAUUUUUAAAACCUCUUGCUGCUGACAUUUUAGCUGGAAUUCUAAAGAGAGAAUGGGCUAUCUAGACACUGAGCCAUGGUGUAAAAGCGCUGGGGUUUUUAGGCUGACUUUAAAGCCACUGAAGUCAUUUGACCUGGUGUGUUGUGUCAUUUGGGGAUUCGGAAGCAUCGAAUGAAAACUGAUAGCCACUCUGGUGUUGGCAGGCAGUCGUAGUGCCUGUCAGUGAAGUAGAAUACCACCCAUCUACUUGAACAUGGAUCAGAGAAUUCUGGAAGAAAAGCUUGAUGCAUAGAGGAUAUGCCACCAUCUCCAAGUAGGUAGACAAACCCAGAUUUCCUUAGGAGGGGCCCACUUACUGGUUCUGAUGCUCAUGUGACCCAAGCAGGCCCUCAACGUUGCUGCUAGGUAUUAUUGAUCCUGGAGCCCUGGUGGUGCAGUGGUUAAGAGCUUGGCUGCGCACCAAAAGAUCAGCAGUUCGAAUCCACCAGCUGCUUCUUGGAAACCCUGUAGGGCAGUUCUGCUCUGUCCUAUUGAUCACUAGGAGUCGGAAUCAACUCGACGGCAACGAGUUUGAGUUUUUUCAUUUUAUCAUUGAUCCUAUCUUAUUUUUAAGUUAUAGUGUAUUCGGCAUACCUUUACGCUAUUAUUUAUGAAAGGCAGUUGUUAAUUGUACAAUACCUGAGGCAAUAUUAUGAGCUAAAGAUUGAAAUAUGUCUUUUUUUUUUUUUUUUACUUACAAAAA
This is a long non-coding RNA of Loxodonta africana (African savanna elephant), 82829 nucleotides long. RefSeq lists it as uncharacterized. Lineage: Eukaryota; Metazoa; Chordata; Mammalia; Proboscidea; Elephantidae. The record is from RefSeq and is a predicted model, not a curated record. The transcript has 4 exons.